UAGCUUUCACAAAAAAGGCUGGAUUUCUCCGUGGGAGAAGUGGAAUCGGAAUCGGUUUCAGAACAAAAGGAACUCAAAGCAGCGCUUUCCCUUUGACCCUUGAAUCUAUCUACUCCGGCUACAGAGCAUGAAUGUGCUCUCGGUGAACUCCCUUUAGAUUCAGAGAAGACUGUUCCUGAUCCAUCCAAAGAACACUUGAGCCUGGUACUCACAGCUAAAGCAUUUCCCUUGUGCCUGCUAUUCCCUCUUCCAGAAGUGAAUCCGGAUCCUCAUCCUCAUCUCUUUCACUCUGGGCUUAUUCAAGAAUAGCUGAUUCUACCCCAGGAUUCGUACAAAUAGAAAGAAGCUGUUAUGCCACCUUCGCCCUAGUACAGGGGGAACUCCUCUAUCUGUUCCGUUGUCAUACUAGAUUCUCUAUUCUACCCUAGAGUAACUCAUUCCCUUUCGAGCUAAUGAGAGCUAACUGGCAAGAAGCAAGAACAUUCUCAGCUAACCGCGAACAGAGCAGAGUUCCGAGUCGCUUAUUUGAAUAUGACACUUAGUAAGCAAGCAUUCCUAACCGAGAAUGAUUAUCUGAUAUUAAGAACGGAACAGUUCCGAACACCUAUCCAAGCCAAGCUCUUUGCCGACUCUAUACCCUAUCUGUUAAUGCUUUUGUUCUGAAAUCGAUUCCUAUUCUUUUGGGGUCCUUGCCCUCCAACCAAGAAAGAUCAGAGAAGCUGGGCGAAAUCCUCUGUGCGGGUAGGAUUGAGACUAUGAUUUAAGGUUACAUUAGCCAAGUUCCAGCAAAAAGCUAGUAGAACUAUAGCCUGCCUUGCGAGGUCUCUCGAGCCUACUGUUAACCAAAGCGCUGAUCUCUUCUUUCCUAGUGAGUAAUAUUCUCCUUAGUUUGUACGCUAUUCGAGUCUUCCCCUUUAUUGUCCUGUCUGCAUAAAGACAGCCUAUGGUUAGUUCUUCCACUCUGCAUAAGGACAGCCUAUGGUUAGCUCUUCCACUCAAGGCUAUGACAAUCUAAAAAGAUAGAGUAGCCACCCUUCCUCCAAGACAGGAAUCGGUCAUUUCUUUCCCUUUAGCCUGCCGCUCUGACUUCUCUUCGCCUGGACUGCAGAACUAUAUUAUAUUCAAUAGCUACUCCCCUCCCUAGAAUCAAUAAAGUAUAAAAGAUAUAAUGAAGGUAUUAAAGACUUCCGACACAAGCGCUGUAACAGGCAUACUUCUACCUAGACCGCGUUCAACCCAACCGAUUACUUGACUUGAUUCCUUAUGGGUUUGGUGUUUCCUAUUAUUGACUUUACUCAGUGUACAUAAUGACAUUCUACCUUGGUUGGUUUCUUAGACUGUUGCUUCUCCUUGAUUCGGAUGGAGCCUUAAACGAAUCCCGGUGAGCAGAAGAAGGAAUCCAUCAAAACCCUGCACCCAAAACCUGUACAUAAAACGACUCACGGCUAACAACAACCCCGUUCGAAAAGACCUUUGACUCUUUUCUUGAUAACUUCGAUUGCUUUCUCCUGAACCAGCGGGUGGUGCGUGCUGACUUGAUCCGAGGUAAGCGUAACUUUCACUUUCGACUUUCCCUUCCGAGUAAUAUAGGAAGAUCUCUAUGGCCAUCUGUGUCCCAUAACGCAUCUAUCCUUGCCACUCUAUCUAGCUUUAUUUAUUUAUUUAUAUUAAGCCCAUACAUCCGAUGAACGAACGCGGAAUGUUGAAAGCAAUGGUAGGCUCACUACGAGUUAAGUAAGCUUUUUGUUUCGCUUCCGGACAAGUAGAAAUAAGCUGUAAGCCACUUAGUAUAAGGAAGGGCUACUUAUAUACUGAGAUACGGCUUUGAACUCAUGAGUUGUUGCCCCCUUUCUAGUUGUGUACAGUAGUACGAUAAGGAAGAUGAUUAGUGAGGAAGUCUAUAAAUGAUGACUAUUCCUUAUCCGUCUUAAGCCCUUCUUUCUACCACAUCUGGACGGAACCUAGAAUCCACAUUGAUUUGAGACUUAUUCUGUAGAUGGACACGAUUUCCUUGACUCUUAUUCUUAUUAAGAUGAAGAUUGAACUGUGACUUAAGGUACUUGUCCGACAGAAACAUCCUUACCUAUCAGGGUGCUUCUUCUAUACCCUUUUCUGGCGCCCCCUCGGACCUAGAGACGUAACCGGAUGGUAUGGGCCUGAGUCCUUUCUUUCACUCGCCCUCACUGGCCUUACCCCGUAUGGCUGUGCUUUCGUCUUCCCCUUCUGGUAACGAAAUGGUUUUACUACUGGAUCGAGUACCUUCUGAGACAAGUAAGUCCGGUGGGGUAGUGGGCUAGGCCCACGAAGGAGGCCGGUAAGUGGGCUAAGAUGCUUGCUUUGGGGGAAUGAGAAAGAAAAAGGCAGCAUGAUAUGAUACUAAGGACAUACCAUUCCUUAUCCAUGGUCAACAACUCUACUAAAUGAGUACGAGUGCUUUGUUGAAUCAGAAUCACAGAACUAGCACAAAAGUAUUCCAACCAAAUCAAUGUUCAGAUGUUCGUCUUCCAACCUAAUCAAUGUUCAGAUGUGCGUCUGCCAACUCACGAGUAGUUACCCUAUCCCUAAUCUAUUACUAUGUUAGAGUAUUCAAGUGUAUAUUAUUCUAUCUGUGCAUAUUAUUCGAACUAAGCCCCGCGUGGCCCUCCCUUCUGCUCGGGAUCACUUCUGUUUCGUUCCCUAUUAGACGAUGGACGAGUUAGGGAGCUAUUACAAAAGAGUGGUGCAAGCAAGUCCUCCCACAACUUCUGAGUCAGUGAGGUGGCUAUGAACUCAAAGUUAUGUCAUAACAGCCUUUUCCUCUUUUUCGUAAGGAAAGAAAGAAAUAAGCAUACUACGUGAGGCCUCGCCAAUUGAUAGGGAGGACCCAUAUUCUUUCCCAGGCGCGGUAUAGUCAAGUCUUGGCGCCCUUUCGGGGUCUCUGGUGUCGAGUCGCUAGAAUAGGAGCAUUGGGCACAACGAAUAAGAUUACAAGAAUAUCCGACAGAGGGGGCAGAACCACCAUAUUGUUGAGAAGACCCACUAGGCCCAAUUCCGUUUCUUUAUAUUCAGAUUCUCUUGAGAUUCAUAUUAUAAGGGAGAUAAGGUGUUCUAUUCAUAUUAUAAGAGAUAAGGGGAUUAGUUUACCUCCAAUAAAAGUCGUCUGUCUUGUUACUAGGAACGCGAAAACAACGAGUGAGUCGAGCUGAGCUUACUUUCGUGGAGGACAACAAAUAGACAGGGUUAACGAACAAACCUAUAGCUUUUACUCCGGGGCUUUUCAUUCAUGUUAUUCAUUGAACGAUUGUUAUUCCUUUCUGUAGAACAUGGAGAGUUACAGGUCUUUUGAUUGAUAGAGACCUUCCUUUGAUUGAGAGAGCCAGAGCCCUUCCGUGGUACAAGGGUAUACAAUUUCCAAUGAGAGACGCACAGAGAAGAGAAGCUUUUAAGCAAAGAAUAAGUCCUUUGCCGGGGUUUUUCUAUCGAUGAAGCCCAGCAGAGUAUCCCGCCCAACUCAACUUACCUCUCCUACUAUAUAGAGGUGUGCGUGAAGCUCGAUAGUAAACAAAUCCAAUGCGGGAAUAGCUCCUCUGAUUACUAUUACUUAAAGCUCAUUUUAUUCAAUUCAAAACUCCGGACCCUGAUUUAUAAGCCCAAACCUGACUUUACAAGUUCUCAACCACACCAGCCUUUGUGAGUAGAAGGCUUUGAACCUGUGUUCCCAAGAAAAGAGCGGCUACACUCUCUUUCUCUUUAUAUGCAAGCACUUGGAUCUCCACGCUAGAAUCCUAAAAAGCACUUCCUAUUUCGUGGAUACUAUCUUUUAUCAGCGCAUGCGAAGGGACUUCCACUACUCACCUCUGGUCCGCAGAAAACACACUUCACCAUAUCCAUAUAAGGUUUAGUAGAUUGUAAGAACAGCAAAGGCAAAUCCGCUGAGCAAAAUAAUAUGGUAUAAGCAAUUCCGAAGCAAGUAAAGAGAGUCCAAUGGAUUUCAUGGCGGGAUGCAAAUUGGCCACUUAAUGCGAGGGGAUGAAAAGAUCGAGACAGCUCUAGCGUGGUGAGAAAACCAUCGAUCCCUAUUCAUUAUUUCAAAUAACAAAUGGGCGCGACUAAACACUGACCCAGGAACGCAGGUAGGUAAGGGUGAUUCAAGUUCCAGAGCCCUAUAAAAGGAUGAGGUAAGGGUGAUUCAAGUUCCAGAGCCCUAUAAAAGGAUGAGGUAAGGGUUUACUGUCUGCAAGCCAGAAUGCUGACUAGCAACACCAGCAGACGGUAGAUUACGAGAAGGAAUUCCAAUGGGUAUGGGAAACUUUCAUGUUAGACUCAAGCUUCUUUCACUACAGGAGAUUUCAUGUUAGACUCAAGCUUCUUCACUACAGGAGAACGGACAGCUUUCGGGAACUGAGAAAUAUAUUAACUGAGCCUUAUCCGCAAGAUUGUUUCAAAACUAAUCCGAGUGGAGACUUUGUAACCACCACUACCUGUUUCAUGGUUAGGAAAAAAGGGUACCUCUUUUCAAAUAGGAAACAUAACAAAGGGAUUUGAGGUAACUAGACAGGAGUCGAAUUCCAUAUUGAUUUGAACAGCAGCUCUUGCUAAUAGCAUAGUAAGCACUAGGGUUCCAAUCAAGACAGCAAUAGUUUUCACAGCUUCCAACUCUGGAAGCGUAUUUGUGUUCCUCCUUGCCUUUUCUGAACCCAAAAUGAGAUUAUAGCCCUUUACCUAUUCAUCUUCGAUCCCCCGCAAUUCCUUUUAAAAAGAGAUAGGAAAACGCUUCAUGAAUGCACUGGUAAGACUCCAUUCUAACCAUAUUAGAAACUCAAUCAUCUUAUCCAAUCCACACACAGCAUCGUUGUGAUAUGUGGCACUCGGCGUAUUUCUAUUGAGAAUAAUAUCCACCCUGGGUUAGAUGUAAGCCAAAGAGUCGACCCGAUACAUAAACCAAAUGUUACAACAUCCAUUUCAGCGAACGCGGAAGAAUAUAGACCCACAUCAGGCAUUAUGUGCAAUGUCUUACCCUUUAUAAGAGGCAAUAAGCUACCUUUAGGUGCCCAAAAACUCGUAAUCCUUCUAUUCCCUUCUCGUCUUCUUUUGAAUUCCUUAUUUAUUCCAUCUCUGUCCUUUGUGAAAUUCCAUUAUUCUCAGGUUUAGCUAAAAUCCCCUUACUAUAUUUAUUAGCAACAAUCGUUGCCAAGAUGGGUAGAGGCCUCCUCAUUACGAGUUGCUGCCUACUUAUCGAUACAACGGAGAAAGCUAGGUAAUGCGCAGACACGGAAUCAAAGACGGGAGGCACAAAGCAUGGGCGACGGACUGAAUAAGUGUUUCGAAUACCACGAGCGCACCUGUCAUAUUUGAUACUGGCACAUCGAGUAGGGAACCGGUGGGUUCGGGGCAACCGGCGUGCUCUCUCUUUUAGGACUAUCUGGCCUAUCUGAAGUAAACAAAUCAUCAGCCACUGUUACUGUGCUUUCGAGCGGAACUUGAACCAACUCCCUUUCCGCGGUCAACUUCCCUUCCAGCUUCAGAUCCUAAUUUCUGAUGCCGCAUAAAUACAAUCAGAUCAAUAAGGCAAUAAGAGUAGAGCUCGAUUCUCUUCGAGAGUGGAUUCGGCUUCGGUUGGUUUAAGAUCCCGUUUCGGCAUCCUCUUUUGUUCCUACUUAAGAUCUUGUAACUGCUGAUGCUGCAAAUCCAUUGGUACUAUAUUCUGCCCUGUACUCUACACUUUCUUACCGGCUUUGAUGCGAGUAGUUUUGAGCUGAGCUCCUGCCGCGCAACUUACGUAGUUGCUUGGCGGCUUUGAUGCUCUAAGUUCAUGAGAGAGUCUAGGUUCUUCUAGUUACGAGUAAGGAGUUAACGCUAGGUGUUCGAGUUGCAUCCUAAGUGAAAGAGAUAGGAGCCGCGGAGUGAUAGUUGCUUUUCUGUUCGUUUCAUUCUGGAAUUCCUUAUUCCAUUUAGUUCCUAUUUCGGUCUACUUUAAAAGGAAUGAUUUCGCAUCGCCAAGUCCUGUCUUCGUGGCGUAAGGAGUGAAUGAAAGUGCUCACCUGAAACCAGAGUUGAGGUCGGAAAAACGAAAUCCUAAGGUACUGGCUUUGAUGCCCUAGCCCUACCUAAGUCAAUCAUACGGGAGAGGUUAGAGUCGAGAAGUAGUUGGAGGUGAUCGGACAAAGUCGACCAGAUCAGAUGCCGAGGGUGAAGAAUCGAUUACUUUACCAGAGCCUGUAGUUUCUCAUUCCAUUCUCCAUUAGGAGAGAAAGAGCACAUCAACUUACUAGGUUUUGGCGAGAGGGCUAAAGCUGGACUUGGUAACAACGCAACUAGUUAUUUGAGUUCCUGUUGCCGCAAGUAUAGUAGUAGCUGGUUGGUUAAGAGCAAUAGACCCAUAGCGGAGUAGCUGGUUGGUUAAGAGCAAUAGACCCAUAGCUAGGAAGAGGUAAAGUCAGAAAAGAAGUAUCAAGUAAAGUUGUCGCGUAUCUACUUAAUUAAGUAAGUAUCUCGUUCCACCGUAAGCAAAGGGUAGACCUAAAGUGCUUGCGCGUAGAGUAUAAUUGGAAAUCCAGUCUCAAGUAGUAAAGCUAGAAUUUCACUCACUCGUCUUAUAGCUCAGCAGUCCGCAUCCUAUCCUAUCCCGUAUCAAGGUAAGAAAAAGAAGAAUGAACUAGGUAUGAGAUAGAUGUAGGUAACAAACCGCCAAGCCAAGCCCUCUUUAUCUAAGUUGAAGCAAAGAAUGCAACUAUCAACUCGAAACUUAGUCUUGCCUCUAUCUCCUCUUCGUGUGACCUCUGAAAGCCUAAAAUCAUUCCAUUUAAAGCGGGUUUGAUCUCUUCGUAGUCCUGCUCAAGGGAAAUGAAACUUCUUCUCGAGUUGACAGCUUACUUCUGGGCUUGUCCCUUUUGGCCUAUGAUAUACCAUUGAAUCUUUACUAACUGAAUUAGGCUCAUCUAACGGAAUUCUUAUACUAUACCUCUGGCUCUUGAUUACUCGUAUACUAGUUGGGGCAAGAGGAUAGUCUGUACGUAGCUUGGCGAGUGGAAUUACUUGUUUUCUUCCAAUACGAGGGUAGGCUCAGUAAACCUCGGAUCCUAUACCUAAUUGGCAGCCUCAGCUACUGAUGCAACAGGACUCCUACUUGAUAUUCCACUUUACCACUACACCACUAUAAGGGGCUGUAAACUUGAGUGGAAUUCUUAUAAUACAGUUAUUGCUCUGGACUAAUAUACUACCCGCUAGUGUUCGCGACUUCAUAUAAGGGCAACUUGACCAGACUAGCAUAGCACUUAGGUUCUCUUUCUCCUAACUCAGGUAUUCCUACUUAUCAGGUCUCAGGUAUUCCUACUUAUCUGGUAUAUAUACUUAGAAUUAGAAGCGGUCUUCCAUUCCACUCCGGACUCCUUUACUAGUGGUAGCUUGGCUCUUACUUGAAACAAGCACUCCCGGCUCAUAUACCUCUGGCAACUGAUACUUCUUUGAUCUCUCUAGCUCAUCUACUUGCCUCUAAAACAUCUACUAGCAAUCCUUAAAGGUAGGCUCACUUCAACUAGAGCACAAGAACGAUCACUCCUAUGCUCACCUAGUAACUGACUUCGGGGAAUUAUGACCUUAUGUACUUGGCCGGUAUGAAACUGGCAGCUGGAAACUCUUCACUUCAACGGAAACUUACCCUCCAACUCUGCCCCAACUCCCUAAGCACUGAGGAAACCAGUAAAACCUUGAAUGGAACUUUCACUUACAUCGGUUUCUGAUCCUGCAGACAAACAAGCAAGAAGUUCACUUUAAGUUGAGCCAACAAAGACAGAUGACUUGAGAACAGUACUAUUUUAUGCUGCUGACUUGCGCCUUAACAGCUUUACCGACACAGUGGAAAUCCAAUCUUCUUCAAGAAGAACUGUUUCUAUACGAGACUCAACAUCAUUUGCUUAUAAUCUAGCUUCGGAUCCUGAUCCUGAUCGCGCGGAUGAUUAAGAUUCAGCUCCUGCUUAUACUUAUAAUUUAGACUCCACCUCAGCCUCCGCAGUUUCUAAUUAUGUCUUCACAUUCUUUCCCUUUUCUGUCGAACUCAACUCUAACUGCUGCUGCACUGGCGAAGUAAACCCCUAAACUGACUGCUUUCAUUCAAGUAAACUAACUCAAGUGAGCUCUCUUAUUACGGAGUCUAUUCUGCCUUACGAACGCUACCUUCGGGUCAAGAUCAGAACUCGCUUGUUUUGAAUUGAGCUGACAUUAUUCUUAGACUUAUUGAAUUCACACUAACACUAACAAAGUCAAGGGAAAAAUCCAAUCAUGGAAUUUGAGAACUAACAGUGAGUAAGCCGACGAAGAAAAAACUCCCUAUGAAAGAAAGCUCGCGUAAGCACAAUGUAUUGUUGCGACUGUGGCAAGUAAAGGAAAACCUGUUAAUUGAAUUGACGCUGAACUGCUUGCAACAUGGAAUUUCUCAUUUCUAUCUAUAAUAGUGACUUGGCUCUUUAUCAGAUUCUUAUAGGAGAACUUCAACUCUUCCUCGAACAGGCAAGCAACUACGGUGACUUCUUUCUAUUAUACCCCCUAAGGCUAGGCACACCUAUAAGGCACCAGUGGAUCUGAACUCAACCCUGAACUGAAGCGGGAAGGAAAGAAUAUAGUCGAGUUGGGUUUUGUCUUAGAGAAUGAAGCCUUUGAUCUGAUUCUCUUUCUGUUCACCUAGGCCUAGUGCGCGUUAGCAGAGGAUGCCUCUAUUCGUUCAAGAGACAGUGUACAAACCAACCCGGAAAGCAUAUAUUUGUUUUGGUCGGGGCACAAGAUAGGUAGAUUAGCCAUUCAAUGAAUUUGAUUAGUUAACAGUCAAAACAAGGCGAUCAUAAAGAUUACCUAAGCUCCCUUAGCGCUAAACUCCAAUCUGUAUUUCUUCAUUAAAGCUUGAACCCCAAAAGAGAUUAUGAGACUUAUUAACUUACCGUACUUCGAGCGUAUUAACAAACCAAACAAAGUAGGGCAAUUAACUACUCAAUUCUGUGUGAAGUCAACAAAGAAUUAAUUGAAUCUAUAUCGCCUAGCAUAGAUAGAACUCUGAGUCAAAAGAACUCUCCAGGGCAGCACGCAUCUCUUCUUAACCGCUACACAGCUUCAGAUCGAGCCGACUCACCCGACCAAGCAAACCUGAGCUUAGUAGCCGAAAAGAACCACUUCAAUUCUAUCUUAUAAUAUAAUAGAACUAGAAUAUAGGAAGGUACAACAGGUACAUGAAUAGUUGGACCCGUGAUUGAGAUGGAAAGUGCCAAUGUACAAUCAAUGGAUUUCUUACUAAAAUCAAAAGAUGGGUUUCGAGCCCCAACCCCUUAAAGUAGUGGUCUAAGUAGGGUGGGUUCAGUGAGUUUGACGGUGAAGGAAGUAUCUACCUUAUCCAACUAACCGUGCCUCUUCCCAUGUCCCUUAAUAUAGGCUUCAUUAAUGUAGCACUGUCCCUUAAUAUAGGCUUCAUUAAUAUAGCAUAGGAUCCAUCCGCCUAAAUUCCAUUCUGACUCUAUGGGUGGAGUAAACCAUUUAUUUGAUUGAUAUAUAAAGAAUUGGGUAACCCAGGAGAGGAGAGGGCACUUCUUCAUUUGAAAGGGAACCCUCCAACUUGAACUUGAAUGACUCAUACUCACUCCUAACUCUGUAAGCGCAAGGACGAACUCAAAACUCGCUUGUGGAAUUCCAUUGAACUGAAUAACUCACUAACGUCAAUGAGGACAGGACUGGAACUAGACUUUCUGCGCACCCCAACCCGGAGACUUCUUUAUUGCUCGACGCACCUAAACUUGUUUCUUGAACUCUACUUGCAGAAGUGCACUAAACUUUACUUCCUUGCUUCAGAUCAGAGAACAGGAACAGCCCAUUCUCUAAGAUAUGAUGAAAGUCGAACAGAGAUUUCAGAACGAUUGUCUUUCUAAGCCCGAAAACGGAUUGAACUGCUCCUGUGUUUGCAACUUUCGGAAUGAGUUUAGAGCGAGCAGCAGAUCAAACUGUUCCUACUCUGCUUAAAGAAGGAGUGAAGAGAUAGAUUAUACAGCUCCUUAACGACUUUAGGAAUGAGUUGAAUCUAUUGCACCGAGGAAACCAUGAAUUGAAGUUAGUCCAUCAGAUUGCCAACUCACUUUGACCACUGAGUCUGCUCUUGAAACUGCUUACACAGAUGACUUUCUAACUGUCUAUUUUGCUGCGGACUUUUGCACUCCACUUUCGUACACAAACUUCGCUGAAAAGCCUUGGUAUUUACAUCUUCGCAAGGAGAGGAGAGCCUCCAUUUUCUGAUGAUUCUGCCCUUCCUUCACUACUACUUGGGGCUGUAAACCUAGAUUUCUCAUCUACAGACCUAUGUGAAAUUCAUUUGAUAGGGAAUACCCGAUUGCUGUUGACUUUCUAACAGGACAUUAUACAGCUGACUGGAGUUACUAUAUCUCUAUUAGGGAAUCAGAGUAAUGAGCUAGGGUCUGCUAGAAGAAUGGAAUGGAAUAAUAUAAUAGUAGAAGAAUGGAAUGGAAUAAGAUGAUAAUAGCCUAACUGGCAUUAGGAAGUCCGACAAGCAACGGCAAGUAGUAGAGACUCAACGGAACUUCCCGUUCCCGCUUCGCUUCAAUUGGACGACUACGUUUAAGUACUAGUUGGGGCAUUGAACAGUACUUGCUUAUGACUUGUACGGAAAAGGGAAAACUCUACUUAAGACUUAACUGCAACACCAACACCACCGCUUGCUACUGACCUAAUACUCUCUGAACCAACAACACCAGAAUCUCUCUGUUGCUUCACAUAUUUACUCCUACAGUUGCUCACAAGAACGGAGCCGCCCUUCUUUCAUUCUGUAGCAGUGGAUAUGAGAUACGAGAUAUAUAGGGUAUACAGUAAUAUAAUAAAACAAUGACUAUAACCAGAAUGGAACUACCAGAAAACGGACUAUAACUACAGUCUCUGAGACUUAAGACUCGUCUACCUUAAUUCUUCCAGUGGGGAGUUCACUCUCAGCCUGACUUGACUUUCUAUCAGCCUUAGUUCCCUUUCCUUAAAGUCUGCCUUCUUGGACUCGGAUUCUUUAACUAUCCCCUAUGGAGGUAUGUCUUUCUUUUCUCUUAAACUACUACUGCCUACCCUAAUUCUGAUUCUAUUGUUUCACUCUGUCUUUUCUGUCUCUAGGGCUCCCUCCCUUUAGUUGAAGUAUGAUUCCUCUGCUAAUAAGAAAUGCACCACUACAUAUGAGGAUGAAAACACUGCUAACAGGGAUGGAACUACCACGAACAGGAAUACACCAAAUACCGAAAGAAUGGAACUCGGGCAACAAACUCAGAUUCCUCUGCUAAUAAGAAUAGAGCUACUACUGAUGGGAACGAAACAAGUAAGUAAAAGAGUUUGAGCUGGGCAAUACUAUGACUCCUUCCUCUUGGCCUACCUCUCCUUCCUUUUAGUAGAGUUUAAGUAUCAGUGAACUAAGGCCCUAAUACAUAAUUAUCGUGCACCCAAGAAUGGAAUUGAGCAGUCGCAGAAUGUGGCUACUAAGAACAAUAAUAAAACAAAGAACUAAUGGAAGCACUCAGAAUUGAACUACUCACUACCAGAAUUGACCUCCUUCUUGACCAACCCUAUCUCUGUUUCUUGCCUACCUACCUAGUGCUGUUUCCUUCCAUUAAUAGCACUCUCACUAUAUAGCUGAGUAAGCCCAAGCCUUAUUCUCUAUGCCUAUGUCCAAGCCUUGCUCUUUUCCUUGUGGUUGAGUCAGCCUUUCCUGUCAGUAAGUGUCUUCACUAUGCUUUUCAUUCUGCAAUUGCUUAUUUCGGUAUUGUAUAUAAUAUUCUCUUAAUGUUGAUUAGGGAAAUUGGGUCUCAAAAAGGCGAGUGGUUUUCUAUUCCAUUGAGAACUGUUGUUUCGGGUGUUAAGUAAACAUCACUCUAGGAAUUAAAGACAGAAGCCGGGAUCCCACUAGUGUUUCUAAAGCUUUAACCCACUAGCAAGACUCCACGAUAUGCAGGCUUAACCACCGUGGCUCGGGUAGCUAACAGUGUGGAUGUAUGCUCUUGACUCUUUAGGUCAAGCUAUUCCUUUAGUUUGUUUAGAUACAACUGCUUAGAUUCGUAGGUUAGCUUAGUAUAUGCUUUAUUGUAGCUCUACCAUUGAAAAACCACUUCUCUGACUUGAAUUCAGUAGUUCGUUUUUUGUCUUGUAGCUACUAUCGAUAUGCUAUGUAAGUGAUAGAAGUGAUGCUAUUAAUUGGAAUUCCUUGCUAAGCACUCAGUGCGCUCAGGGCUUGUUAGACUCUUCGCAAUCGAGGCAGCUAUUACGGAAGAAGAUUUAGGGGUACCCAGGAGACAAAGAGUACUCUGUGCCGGCUUAGACCUGCAACUACUGCUUAUCCUUUGCUUGUGGUAGCUGUCCUCGUAUAAACACCGCUUCGUUCCUAACGAAGCCAUUACCUGUAACCACAUCAUCGAACCUCCUGUACCACAAGAAAGAGGGAGACUUAUUUGCCCAUACUAGCAAGGAUUUCUCCAAUCGACAAACCAACCUUGUUCUAUGAUCCUGCUAUGACCAUGAGGCUACUCUAUAUGGAUCUCCUCAAAUCAAUAUCCUGGAGCGGAAAGCAGUGCUGUCUUCACUCCGGUUUUGCUCUAAAUCAAGUGAUGCUGCUAGUUAGAUCAGAACCUUAAUAGUUUUUAGCUUCACUCAAGUGGUAGGGUCUCAGGAUGACUCGAGUGGACCUCCUAAGAGGCUCUGGCUCCUUAACAGUGGGAAACAAAAGACCCUUUAUUCGUACAGAGCUAGCAUAGGUUUUAUGCACAGGACAGAGCUAGCAUAGGUUUUAUGCACAGGGUUACAGGAGUAGCGAAAGACUGAGCUCGCUCAUGCUCUCAUGCUUCACACAAGCCCAGUAUAGAAAGCUUUUAUUUCCAACCAUAUCAUAUGUAUUCUCCGAUCAAAGAACUAAACAACAGGGAAGGCUUUCCAAGAUUGCUUCCAAGGCGAGGGCUCGGCACAAUUAACUAGUUUCUCGACUUACUUAAGAACUAACCUUACUUAAGAACUAACAAGCGUUCGCAUCGAUGCCCUAGCUUCGUGUGGAGGGCACAAGACAAGGUAAAGACUUCUUCUCUUGUUAGACGUAAUGUAAUAUUAAUUCAGAGUCGCCAGGCGGGCCUCAGGCUUCAACCCCAUUGAUAUAAAUAAAACAACUCCUCCCUUUUAGACUAUGGAUCUAGCUCCCAACGACGCUCCCCCGAAGAGGUUUCUUUCGAGUAAGCUUGUUGCAUCAAGGCAUGUUUUGACAUUUCGAAAAAGUCACAAGCUUCGUAUAAAGCUUUUAGGAGGUUCAAUUCUGUUAAGGUAGCAUGGAUAACUCAUCUGCUUGUCUGGUGUAAUACUAACUUGUAAAUAAGUGGUGUCAAUAGGAUACAAAUGGAUAAGCGCACGGUAAUGAGGUGGGCAAAGCAAUCCUGAAUGAGCGCACGGACGUACCAUAGCAUUAGGCGGUCAGUCAAUCUAUAUAAAUAGCCAAAUAUCAUUCAUUUCCUAUCCCUUUUUCCAAAGUGUCUUUCCAUUUCAUUAUCUGUUUCCGUAUACUUUUCCUCCACUGAUGAAUUAGCCCUUGCCUUGCCCUAGCUUCCAGAAAAAUAAGUAAACAGCAUCGCGAACUUUGGAUAUUCUGCCUUAAUCAAAUCCAACUCCAUUGAAGGGGAACGAACGCACAUACUAAACCCAUGAAAGCUUGAAACUAGUUGUAUUAUAUUUCCAGAAAAGCUUUCAAGUGAAAGGGCCCGAUGGCUUUCGAUUCUUUUUUGAUAUCUAUAGCCAAAAGAGACCGAAAAUGAGUGAUUUGAAACUGAUUACUUACAUACUGGUGAAACUCUACUGGUGUUUAUGCACAAUAAAUCGAAUUCCCGGAAUUCUCUGUAUCUGUAAGGGUGCACUGGGACUAGAUCCCUUCCUAACUGAACCACUCUCCCAAAAGAAGGGAUUCAAGUGGGGACUGCAAACAAAGGAAACUCGAAAAGGCUCUAGGAACUUCCAUUCAAUGGACCUAGCAAUAGCUGCCAGCAUAGGCUUGUGUUUUUCUUAAAGGAGAUCCGGCUGUAACAGACUCAACGAUGGAAUUAUCCCUUGGAAAGGCAGAGGAGAAUUCGAAAGCUUGAUCACUCGCUUGCGAACUUACUGCAUAAAGGAAUUAACAAGGAGCAACUAACCUUUCUGCGUUAUAACAUUAGGAACCUUACGCCCAUAUGAAAGAAAGCAGCCAAAACUGUAUAUAAGAUCAGAUGAAAGAAAGCAGCCAAAACUGUAUAUAAGAUCAGAGACGGGUUUAGCGAGAAAAGUCCUUAGCUCACACCUAUCUUUGAUCAAAUAAGCAAAAAAGCCAGCGAGUUUAGGUAUAAAGAACAGCCAGUGUCAGAGAGAUUACUUAUGUUUCACUCUUCCUUAUACAUGAAGGGAAUGAAUGCCUUAAUUGAAUGGAAUUCGGGAUCAAAGUGGAUUAGGUGAAGUUAAGGCAAGCAUGAGUUCAACCCUUUUCUCAUCUGGCCAGGAUCGAUAGCCGUUCGACCUGAGUGAAGUGCGGUCAGAUUCCGUAUCCCCAAUUUCUUGGUCUUUCUCAUACUCUAUUAGUUGUCAUAGUUGUCAGAUCAAUUCCCAUGCAUUCUUUAAUGGAAUCGGAAACGGGCAGAGCAGCGGCUAUCCGGAAUGGGGCCUAUGCCUCAACGACUAUCUAUGAAUGACCAGGAUCGGAAUGCCAAUCGACGGGAUGCGCCUACGACAGAUUGAAAGUUCCUACUAUGAUUACAGGCAUCCUCACUUACGCAACGAAAUGACGAAUCCACCGAUCAUAAUAGGAAAGUGAAAGGUUAGCCUCAUACCUUUUAUUGCGAGGUGAAACACUCACCAGGAUACAUGAUCCUAGGCGAAAACAUGAAAGAUGAGCCAAUCAUAUCAUAAGCGGCACCAUCAUUUCCUCCAUAACGCGAGAAACCAACAACUAAUGUUUCAAUGAAUAAACAGCUGAUGGACCACAUAGUUUCUUCUUACCAGCGGAACAGAAGGCUCUUCAAGAUAUUUCCCAAGCAUACCCUUUUAACCAAAGGAAAGGGAUGAGCCGGAAAUCAUAAACAUACCUUUCCAUCAACCCUACUUUUCUCUGGAAAUGACAUUGGCAUAUGCCUCUGUCCUCUGAGCCUUCUCGGAUCGGUAAAGAAAAAGCUGCUUUGUUAGAGUAUUAGGUAGGCACCCACUUUAGGCGCCAAGAUAAUGAGUUUGUUAACACCCAAUAAGUCAAAGUCAAACAGGUUGGAUUACUUUAGUGUCAAAAGGUUUCUCCCGGGGAUUAUAGACUAGACCUAUAUGCUCUGGCUAAGGCUCUAGGUCCACUGAUCAUUAGGUUAAGUCCCUGGUGAUCGAACCAUUACUAUAAGGUUAACUCUGUCCCUCUUUCUUACGAUACAGUUUAGUCCGUCCCUUUACACCAUUAUCAAGUUUGAGUCUUUACAAAGUGCUUCUCUUCUCGGGCUCGGGAAAGCUAUUCAGGCAAGUUCAUUUGCAAGCCUUUAGCCGAAUAAAGCUAUCAGCAAAACUGGCACCUCACCUUUUGUCUGGCCCAAAAGCAAGGAACAGGCAAUUCUCUAAGACAAACUGAUUCCACUCAAACAGACCAGCGGGCAACUCACUUUCCUGUCGGCUUCUGUCCCGGAUCCGGUUCCUAUUUCUGAUCUUGACUCGGAACUAGAAGAACCAGACAAGUCACUGCCUCUCUCGCCUGCUCUUCCUGUCUUUUAUUCUAUCUAUUUGAACAAGUAGCGGUUGGUUUAGGGCCUAUAUCGUGUACCUUACUUCUAUUAAUGCCGAGCUUUCUUCUUGUUAUCAUUGGUUUGAUUAUUUGACUUACUUGUUUCCAGCCUUUGGAUUCCCUGUUAGUAGCUUCAGUCUUAUAAGCAUUGGUUCUAUCCAUGCAGAGGGGUCUUAUAAAUAGUAGUUACAGCCCGAGAAGCAGUAGCGGAGUUCCUAGUUGAGUUCAAUGAACCCGGUAGACCAGAAAGAGAGUUAGGGUGAGGCUCAAGAGGUAAACCAGUGAGUGAAAUUCUUGGAUUCUAUUUAGCCAAACUAUCCUUUCCUCGUCCUGCACAUCUUGUCAAUUUACCUACUCCGGAAAGGAGAUACUUCCCUAAGACAUUCAGCUACUAAUGACUCGGUAAACGGGAAACUCCCCCUUUCCAUAAAACGGGUAAUGAUGUAAUGAUGUAAUGAGAACCCGAGCCCGCCUCAAAAGGAGUACUAGGUGCAGAGGAAACAAAUCAUUGAACCCUGUAUCGGAGUCAGAGAACGAAUUCUGAUUUAUUAACUGAAAGUCCUGUGUUCAUGACGGCUGUGAGUAAUAACUACUAACUGACUUUCUACAACACCAACACAACCACUUGAUACUGACACUUGGGCGUGAGGAGCUAUUGCUAACAAAAGUACUUUCUUUCUGCCCUUACUUACUUAUCUAAAGUACUUUCUUUCUGCCCUUAUUUACUUAUCUAGGGUUUGAUAAGGCCUAAUAUAUAAUUCGGGAAGGGCCAAGCAACAUAGUUAGUUGCGCGGCAGUAAGUCAUAGUUAUGUAGAAGUUAUUACAAUAGAUGUUUUCAUGGGAAAAAGAGCAGUGAAAUCAAUCUCUUUCGUUGCUUGGUUCCAUCCGUUGAUGUAUGGGUAUGGCUCCAUCGGUCCGGCCAUUGUAGCUCCCAUUCUUUCCUCCUAAACCCCACCCAUAACAUAAGGUGCUGACUUCUCUGCUAAUCAAACCCCUUUCACUAUCUCCAGCUGGAAUCUUAGCUCUGUCUUGGUAUUCUUCGCCAGGCCAUUUCCCAUCCUAAUGCCCCAACAUCCAUCAAUCACAGGAACCCAACAUAAAUCAAUCAAUGCUUAAAACAUCGAGAUAUAGGAUUUCGAAUGGCAGUAUAGUUGAAAAGAAAUGAGGCGCUGGUUGCUGCUCACUCAAGUAAGGGCAGUGUUACUAAAUUCUCAAAUAGGUAGGUGAACUCUCAAUUCCUCCAAAAUGGAUAUAUGAGAUGAACUUCUACUUUCGACUUUAGACUUCUCUUGCAUUAACUUGCGCUAACGUUUAUUGAGCAUAAGUGCGUUAGAAGGAGUUCCACAAUUCCAAGCGUUCUGUAAAGUAAUCAAAGAAUAUCAUAUAAGUGUGCACACAAUCCAAUCAUAUAACUGACAGAUUCUAUAAGUUAGUAACUUCCCUGCUGACAGCUUCCUUCAAAACUGACUUCAUUGUGCGAAACUCUAAACUUGUUUAAGGCCCUUACUUAAACUAACUCACUAACCGCUAUAGGGCUUUAUCACCUUUUACAUAUGAGAGAAGAACACCUACAAUGUACUUUUACAUAUGAGAGAAGAACGCCUACAAUGUAAUAGAAAGUAUAGUAACAAAGCGAACCUAGCACUAUAACACCCCGGUAACAAAGCGAACCUAGCACUAUAACACCCCGAAACUCACUCGAAUAAUCAAUAUAUACAUGCGCGCGCCCCGGUAGUGAGUCAGUGCCGCAGUAGCUCAAAGUCGUUCAGUGUAUAAAAUAAGAUAUAUGCUUCUUUUGGCUUUCUUUGUAUACGAGUGGAGUUACCAGGGUUCUAUAAUCUAAAUUGGAACAGUGAAUUUGAAUAGAGUCUAUCAGGUCUCAUUUCUAUAAGUAGUAGCUUUGCUUUGCUUGUUUAUUGGAAAUGCUAGAUAAUCUUCCAUGAUAAGGUUUUUCACCGAGAAUAGUUUGAUUUCACAUACGGGCGAGCUCUGUUAGCACAAGAUCGUCUUCUUCUCCUGGCCUGAAACCCACUACGGAAUGUGGAAACUUAUCUAAAUAAUAGCAAUACUUAGGACGCUUUAGAUCAGCUUUCUACUUAGGACGGCUUUAUAUCCGCUUUUCUUUUUGGGGUGAGAAAUCUAAUACUAAACGGUUCAAAAGGGGCCAAGGGCCAAGCUUAGUAGUUAGUUGGCACCUAGUUGUCUAGUAGUUGCUUGGUCAUUAGUAGUUACUUGUCUAGUCGUUGCUUGGCCGUUAUGACUGUCAUUUGGCUGACGCCGAAAACAGGACUUGGUUAUACUUUGUAAUAUCUAUUACCUUGGCUACCGCCCAACGUCUUGCUUAGCCUAAAACUCACUGCCGUUUCACUCAACUCCUACCGCUUUUCAGCUCGCUGACGCGACAGCGAACACAUAACUAGUAAUAACUGGGGAACUCUAGCGGCCCUGCCGCGCAACAUUAGUAGUUGCUUGGCCCUAUUGUUGUUACUGCCGCCGAAAACAUCUACGAAGACAGUUUAAAGCUCCUCCGCGACACAUUAGCAGUGUCUUGGCGGCUAUAGCUCCUGCCGUACAACGUCUUUCGCCGUUGCUUGGCCGUUAUAACUGGUUAUUUGCUGCCGCGUCACAUUAGCAGCUCAAUAACUCCUGCCGCGCAACGUUAGUAGUUGCUUGGCGGCCGGCUCACCGUUGCUUGGCGUCUAGUAGUUACUUGGCCCAGUCCUGUUGUUGGUGACGAGCGGUGCAAGGGUGCUUGCUAUAUAGGUAAGGGCUGAGUCCUGUCUUCAUGGGACAAGAGGUUUGACUACUCCCUAAAAUCAGAAUACAUAUUAGUUGGCUACGAGGGAGGUUAGAGUGUCGGUGCCCUAGCUAUUAAGUCGUAGAGAUCAGAAACGGGGCGGAGCAGACCACUUAAAGAAUGCAACAUAUACGCAUGAGCUGAGCAACUUUCUCAAGAGAAUAUAUAAGUGAUCAGGAGCUGAGCAACUUUCUCAAGAGAAUAUAUAAGUGAUAUAGAUAAUAAGUGAUCCAGCUUCUUGCCACAACUCGUGUAUACUCGGUUAAGCCUUACCUCUGUCAACUAAUUCAAUUACAAUAUCGGAAGAAACAGAAUCUUUAGCCGAGGCGGGGGGAUGUAAUAGACAUCUAAUCAGACUUUGGAUAAGGAGCUAACAAGCAGACACAAGUCUCAAGGACCAAGCGGACUCCUCAUUAAGUAGACCCUAGACAAUGGAAUUCUUUCCUUUAAGAAUAUAGUUUACUUACCGCCUAUAGGGCUCUCAAAAUACCCUUGCAAUAAUACAAGCGACUACUCUAGCAUGGGAAGCCGAAUCUACUCUUUUGAAUGCCUACUAUGCGCUCAAGGGAAUAACCACCAGUUCUUGGACGUAUUAUGGAGGCUUCUCUACUUCUACUCAAAAGUAUUCUACUAGAUACGAAUUCCACUCGCCCAGCAGAGCCAGCAGGGUUCACAGAGAAAUAGCAUUUGCAUCUUUGACUUUACUUGCAGCCGGGUAAUGAGUUAUAAGUGAGUCCUGCAUCCGCCCUUAAACUAGAUCAUACCUAUGCUUAGUAUUAAGAAAAGAAUGAGGAUUGAAGCGUUAGGUUGAGUUUUGAAUUAAGCCUUAGUGAGUGGUACGUAAGGCGGGACAGUCUGUUGACGACUUGGAUCACGACAGCGGGACAAUCCGUUUUAGUUUCGUCUCUUUAGGUGCUUGCUUGUUAGUGAGUUCGCCGUUGAAGACUUAUAUUCUUCCCCUAUUCUCAAGAAGCGAGGGCAAUAAGAGAAGGGAAUAGAGUUUCUCGGUAUAGAAAUUCUAUUGGUCAUUAGAUAGGUGAUUGUGCUCUCGUAUCAAAUCCAUAAUGGAAUGUUUCAUCGAAGGAAGGCGAAAGUAGAAAGGAUAAGUAAAGCUUGUCAGCAGCAAGGAAAGGGGAGUGGUCGUUAACUCAUUGAAACUAAUAAACUGGCCUGAGAAUGCAUUUGGAGUGUAUACCUUAACCAUCUUCCGUAUCAGCAGGAGCGAGAGAAGGCCUAAUAUAUAAUUAGGGAAGGAAUUCUAGUAUUGAGUGCUCUUAGUUGGAAUUGCAAGUAUUAAUUGCACCCUUAUUAUAAUCCGCAAGAGAAGAGUAGAGGGAUAGUUGCCUGAGUUGGAUGAGCCGGGAGUUAUAGUAGAAUAGAAAUUCUAUAAGAUGAAAUGAAGCAAGUCAUAAUGAAGUGUUUGUUGACAGAGCCCGAGUAGCCAGAGAAGAUAGAUUGGCAGUUGCCAUAGGUAGAUUAGCCUGAGUUCAAAGAGCCCGAGUGAGGUUGUUUUAGGGUCAAGAGUACAGAGCAAGAGUUUAGGUCGGAACAGAAUUAGCGACUGCUGAGGUUUAGUCUCCAGGCAAAGUAUAAAGAAUAGAGUAUCAUAUACAAGCUAGAGCAGUAGAAGAAAAAGUAUCAGAUGCCAAAGAUUGAGCUGGAUGAGAUGAUGCAGAAGAAGUCACCCAUAAAGUAAGAAUGGAAUUCGAUCUUGCCCCCUAGUCUAGUGCUCUUAACGGAAAUCCUAUUCGGGUAGGGCUCUGUGCAAGGAAACUCCAUUCUGGUAUUCGGGAUUCUAUAACUCCUUUAGCGCCAAAGGAACAGUGACUUAUUGGAGUAAUGAAGAUCUGAUUGCGUGGAGAAGACUUUGCUUGUUUAGUAGUAGCUUGGUGGAACUCACUGACGCUCACUCAAGGGUACCUCAUGAAUAUGAGUUCUGUUCUUGCGUCUUAUAUGGAGAGAAAUUACUGGUGUACAAGGCGCUCUUCAGAUUCAAUUAAUAGCGCUGGCAGGAUUCAAUUCAAUGAUGAACUUCAAUAAGUGGGUCAAUAACAGAUAGUGACUUUCCUUGUAGUAGAGUUCGGAUCAAGAAGGGAGUUUGCGGAACAAGUCUAUUUCUUGCUAGGAAAAUAUGAUCAGCUGCAAGAUAUGGGGAAGGAACUUCAUGUCCUGUUUUAUUCGUUGUUCUAGGCGUCAAUGCAUUAGUUGAGCCUGACGAGCGGUUCCAUUCAAAAGGUGAUCUCGCGUUAGGAGUGAAAACGCAAAACGGAGAAAGCGGAAGCCGUAUCAUCAGCAGUUCCAGUUUAGUACGGAGUUGAAUACUAUACAGAAGGUUAAGAUCAUCUCGAAUCGACAAGUAAAUAACCUUUCUUAUCACCUAUAUUUCUAUGCAAGACUAAAACUCACUAACUAGGACUUCUUCUGAUCCUAAACGGAACUAUCUUCUUGCCCGAACAAAACCGUGAAGGGAACUUUCAGCUUACUGAUUACUUUGGUACGGCAUCAGAUCUCGUCUCGUCGCCAACACCGAGAUACUAAAUGGCUUAUUCUCUCUACUCCUUAUGCUUGAACCGGGUUCUUCUCUUAUUCCUACUCCGGGUACAGCAAUAUUCUCUCUUGUUCCGUAUCCUUAUACCGUAUAAUAUGUAUUCUCUUUCCAAAUUCCCUAUUCCAUUAUUUCUUCUCUUAUUCCGACUCUUAUAAUAUUUCCGACUCUUAUAUAUCUUCUAUUAUAAUAUUUCCGACUCUUAUAUAUCUUCUAUUACUAGCCUACCGUACAGGAACGUAUCUUUCGAACGGAAAAGUAUAUCGGUGGCGCAAGUCCAAGUCAGAGUAGAAAGUGUCAGCAGCAAGGGCGCAAGAAGGAAAGUGGAGUUCCAGUUAUUGGCUCUAAGUCUCAAAGAUCCGGAUCUUUUCUUGGUUCUAAGUAAGUAUCUAAAGCGGGAGUAUCAUCUCUUUGUGUGCCAGUGUUGUCAGGUUGUGUGCCAGUGUUGUCAGGAAAGGAAGUUGAUAAAGCAGAUACAGCAAUAGAUGCUAAGUCGGGAAAGUAUGCCGAAUCAAUCUCUACGAGUAUGGUUCUUGUCGCAAGUGAAAGAUCAUUAGCAGGAUUAGGUACAGGCUUUGUUGCGAGGCCCAUAACCAUAAGAAAGCUAAGAAAAGUAUGACUCUUCUCCCGGGCAAUAAAGAGUGAAAGUAUUAUGAAAGUAUCAGACUUACUAGUAUGCGCAGCUAGUUUCGUUUGGGGUAAUUAACCACGAGUAUAGGAAUUAGCUUAGUGGAUGCACGUAAUCAGAACUAAACCCAGCUGUAUAAGAGUGGGCUUGGACCCUAAGGGGGGAGAAUCUCACUGAUGUGUGGUGUAGUUAAGGAAUGAAACUCAGAAGUAUAAGAAUGCAAACAGUAAGUCAAAGAGUGAAACACGGAAUACAGAUGCUACCCGGGCUCCAGUAAGAAUGAAAGAAAGCUGGUUAGGUUUUCCGGUGGCAAGUAAGAAUGAAAGACAGGAAUUGAGGAAUCGAACUCAUUAGUCAAAGAAUUCCACUAUUGGAAUUUCACUACUGAUAACAAGGCGCGAACUACGACUAACAAGGCUCGAACUACCACUAACGAGGCUAGCCUAAGGAAUUCCACUCAGUAGUCACAGAAUGGUUAAGUUACAUCAUAGGGAAGAAUCAAACUCAUUAGUCAAAGAAUUAGUAGUUAGUCUAGGAAUUAUGAGCAAGGAGGCAAGUCUCAAUUUGAAGCCUGUGAACCCGGGAAACACCACAAAUAGAGUAGAAAAACGAAUAGAGUAGAUAAUAUGUUCUAAUAUAGUACAGUACAAGACAAGACUUAGAGUAGUAAGUAUAAGAAUGAAAGUGGUAAAGUCAGAUAGAGUUAGUUGAUCCCUUAUUCUUAUGAGCUAGUAUAGUUAUCGGUCAUAUCGGUCAAGCAUUGCCUCUGCUACUUAUCUCUGGAAUUGGGCAAUACACUUAAUAAGGGCCUUAUAGUAAUUUGGGAGCGAAACUAUUAUUAUUAGUAGGAAUACCGAUCCUGUUCGGUUGUAGCUGGGCCUAUUGACUACCUCCUUCUUGAUAAGCCUGAGCGAGGUAUCGAUUCUAAGCCGGGUUGACCCUUACCCUUAAACAAGUAAUAGAGUAGUCCAGAGCCAUAACUGGAUUAGUUGCAAGAGGCGAGGAAGUAUUUGUUUAAAGAGGAGAUGCAAACUAGUGCCUUUAAGGAGAAGAGCCCUAGGUAUAGGAGCAGGAUAAGAGUCAGAUUAGGAAGGUAGAAAACGAAAGAAGAAAACCGGCUGGCUAUCUAUCCGGAGUUGUUGAAUACCGAGGGGGAGAGUCGCUCUAGUUUCAUGAGUUGUCGAUGUAGUCCUGUUUUCGGGAGCCAACUAGAGCUCAACAAAGUGUAUAUGUAUAUAGUAAGAGCUAUAAGCAAGUCUGCCUAGUAAGAGCUAUAAGCAAGUCCGCCAAGUAGCGUAUAAUGUGUAGCGGCAGGGCAGCUAGUUCGAACGGGCCAAGCAGACUUAAUAAGCAAGGGCGCUAAGAACAAUUAGGGAGCACAUACAUGAGAUGGUUAAGGUAUACACAAUAAAUGCAUUUAUUUAAAAGGGAAUAAAAGCAGAAAUCGGUUAAGGGAAUCAAAGCAGAAUACAGGCUUGCGGUUCAGUAUCUAGGUGUUGUAGGCAGUAGCUGCUUUUAAGUAGUAGUCUAUUUUCUAGUAGUAGUGUAGAGGUGGAUAGUAGUUUAUUUGAGUUCCAGUGUCAUUGUAGAGAGCAGAAAGAAUGCGAAGUCUCGAUUAUAUGCCGGAUCAUAACCAUAAGCAGGAGAAGUCUUUAGCCAGGUAUUAUAUAUAGAAGUAACCUCAGAGUUAUUAUAUAUAGAAGUAACCUCGGAUAGCUAAAGAAGUCACCUCGGAUAGCAGAAUGAAGUAAAGGAUCGGAAGAAACAGAUCGAAAUACAAAGAAUGCAACAAUAUAAGAGUAGUGAAAGAGUAAAUGGCUCUGUCUCUGCUCUACCUAUUACAGCUGGCUCAAACGCACCUCUGUGGCAGCUCCCCCGGCUUCCUCUCUUUAUUCCUACCACUAGAAUACCAAUACAUAUUCAAUUUGACUCUAAACAGCCUUACCUCCUCUUCACCUAUACACCUCUUCUUUGUAUGCUACCUAAACUUCAUUUCCAUCUUUCUUCUUUUCGAGCACCUGUGCCAACACCUGCUCCUGCGCCAGCACCCUACUUUCUAACUGGAUACUUUUUUCAAUAAAUUCAUAAAUGAAGUAGCGUCGACAGUAUAUGCUUGUCCCUUUAGCAUCUUAUGAUAGGAAUAAAGUAUAACCGUGGAAAUCUAUUUCUAACCUAGCUGUAAAGAGAGUUGGGCUGGGCCUGGACUCUAUGAAUCAUGAAUCUCCUCUCUCCAUCUUAUAGAAAUGCAGGUCAAUAACCUCCAUAUACUGAUGGAUUUAGCGCUGAACAAUACUUCAAUUUCUUAUUCCCCACACCCCGCGUAGCCAGUAAUUGAUUAUACUAUUCCUUUAUACCGUACUCGACUAGAGGGGAGCUACAGCCUUAGACACGAGUACAAGCAAUAACCUCUCUUCAUUAAUGUUGUGCCUGAUUGCUGACAUGUAAAUCUUUCUUUAUGCACUUUGCUUGCUUUGUCUGUAAAUAGGCGAAUGCUUGAUUUUCUUUUCUGUCUUCAAGAGAUAGAAGAGGGAUUUGUUUCACGAAUGAAUACGUACUUUCUUAGUGCUGGCUGGAGUUGGGAUUUCGCUUUGACCGAUUGGCUUUGCUUUGAGGAGGCGGCAUCCAUAGUAAUAUAAUAAUACAGCGUAACUUGCGCUUAGUCCCUUGUUGUUGGGCCCAAAAGAAUGCCUUAAUCAAUCCAAUUUAUAUCCCCGAGUAGGACAACCAUAAUAAGCUCCUACUUAGCGGCCUCGUAUUCAAUCAGUUAAGCGAGAGCUGGAAUGGAAGGAUCAAUUGCAAGCUCAGAGGGAUUAAUAAGUGGAAGAAAGUCAGUUGUUCACGAAUCCACUCUUCAAGAAUGCCUUCUCCUAUAUUUAGAAAUAAUCCCUAGCUAUUGAAUCCGGUCUUUUAUCUUGAUGCACAGAAUGCCUUGUUCCAGAUGUAGAGUAAGAGCUCUUGGAGGGAUCAAGGCUGGUGCCUCUAAUGGUAUAGGCUGUGUAUCCAUUUCAUCUGGUCUUUCGGAAUCGAAUGCCAUGGAACUUAAGGGGAAGGAAGGAUUUGACAUUGAAGGGGAGGAAGGAUUUGACAUUGAGGCGAGACCAUAUAUAUAAGAAGAAAGAAUCUGCCCAUUGACUAAGUACUCUGAUUCUAUGAUUGGAUAAUAAGAGCUCUUUCUUUGAACUUCGAUAAUAGGGGAAGAUGGUGAAUCUGUUGUCCACUUCGACGCGGUGCGGAGCCAACGGAUUUCUCCUUAUCCGAUUGGGGAUUUCCAGGUUCUCCAAUAAGCCUGAAAGUAGGGAUCGAUAAAGUGCUAAAAACACAAUUCCCAGCCCCUAUGGAUUCUAAACAAGUAGCCUUCCAACUCUUUUUUUUGAGAUUCUCUCGCAUAAAAGGAAGUAUUGGUAAGCUAUUUGGCGGUAAUUCCAAGAGAUAGAGGUCAUUCGAGAAGGAGGGACUAUGUGAAUCUUCUAUCUAUUAAGGCACUUUUGGACCCUACCCGACCAGAAUAAAGUCACGAACAAGUGGUAUAACAUUAAUAUAGGAAGUCAGAUCUAUAAAUAGAGGAAAUAAGAUCUAGAUUCCCUUAAAGGGUAAAGCAAGCAUUCUGUGGAGGAGCCCCAGUGAAGAUCAUCUCUUUCCUCUUUCUUCUGACCUUUUUACCUAUGACGAGGGAAGGGAGAAAAGGGGCAUUUCAACCAAUAAGUAGAAUGUGAGAAGGAGCAGACCCAUCUACGAAGAUGCUUUUCCAGAGGGAGCGACGGGCCCAGCUCUUUCUUUCGAACUUCUUUGGCGCAGAUUUCACAAGUCAAUUUUGCCCUGACUAUACUUGCUUCGGCAGAUCCAUUUUGCAGGUUAGCUUCGGGGUCCCCAUAAGGGAAGUAAACUCGUCCUUGAUAAGUAAAGCUUUGUCCCUAUUUAUUGGGCAUGAGCGGGGAUAGCAGUAAUGGUCCAUUUAUUGAUGGUCGAAGGACAGGGAUUGAAGCAGCGGAGAAGCGCAAUGCUUUCUUUGUCAAUUCUAUUGAGCUAAGUCUAGGAAAGUAGAAUCUAUGCUCUACUCUAUGUUUCCCCUUUGAAAAGUGGUUCUUGCGGCCCGGAGGCUCCACAUCAUCUUAGAAGUUCUUUAAGAAAGACCUAGCUGGGAAUCCGAGGAAGAACUAAUUGGUUGGAGCGCACUUCACACACACUAGAGUUUGACUCGUAGCGAUUAGGGGUUGAACCAUCGAUCCUAAAAGGUCAGUUGUUAGGUUGCUGGAGGGAUGCAAUAUAGUAUAGUAAUAAAGAGCGAAAUAAAAGGAGCGAAAGCUUAAGAGGGGAGGAGGGAUGUAAUUCACAGCUAUAACUAAAGAGGACUAUCAUAAAUAAGUUCUGAAGGAUGUAAUUAAGCUAUACUGAAAGUAAGGGGGCAAAGACUGAUGAGCAUAUUGACCUAUUGAUUGUUGGAGUGGAGAAAGUUAUGUCCCAGUUUCUGAGGUGGGCGCAUAAUCUAAUAUGAUGGAAGCGAAUACACUCGUACGGCUCUAUCUUGACAAAAGGUGUUUGGACUGUUUUCGGGCCCAGACUCCGGAGCCAUUCUAGUUCCUGAAUAAUGAGGAUAUCCGUAUCAGAGGCGCGUAAGGUUUCUUUUGGUGCUGUAGCUCCUAGUAGAUACGAGUUGGGGCAAGAAGAGAAGAGAGCCGAAUUCAGCAAGUCAGAAAUGAAUAGUAAUAGCAGAGGGUAUAAGAAUACAUCCACUUUACCGCAACUCAGCUACUCCUAUAGUAUAGUAUAGUUCCUAUAGUCAUGAGUUUUGUUACCACUCUUUGCCUUUGUAGUAUACGCUUGGUUAUUUAGUUUGCUGGGAAAUCAUUCAUUUCUCACUCUUGGCCUGAGUCUUGAUCCGAGGACCGAGGAAAACGGAAUUGAUUAUCGAUGUGCCAUAUUCAAGUAGGAAUUGGGCGGAGCAGGAAAAGGUUUGAGUCAUGAAGAUCUGAUCAGGGAAGAGAAGAUUGCACCAACCCAACCGUUGCUGAAUCCCUUAAGCCCCCUUACGCGUAGAAUGAGAUGGAACUGCUUCCACUCUUAACAACACUGCUACGUCGGCCUUAACUGCGGAUUCUCAAACUCCAGAUUCUCGCCCCGAUUCCGCUCCAUCUUCUGCCGAUGAUCUAGCUUCUUUACCAGAUCCAGUGAAUUCUCUCGUUGCACCAGAUCUAUCUUAUAAUCCUUAUCAUCUUACUGCUGGCACAAACUCACUAACGCUUGUCGGGCCCAACACAGAGACGAACAAGUCCCUCCUUUUUAGGCUUCAAUUCAUUUCCAUUUAUACAGUGGCAAGGGAUCUUCAAUGAGUGAGUCUUAAGGGGUGCGUGCCUAGCUUUUCCAUUCCUAAAGCUACUCUCGGCUCAAGCUUAAUCAAUAGUGGCAACAAGUAAGUUUCGGGGUGUGUUAGCCGUUGCGCAAGAAACCAGUCCAGUAGUUCGCAAAUCUGAUAAGUAUGACUUCCACCCACAGGCCUGUCUAUUGUAUAGAAAAGAAAUCUUAUUGGUAAUUGGAGAAUCAGAGCAUAGGUGAAGGUUCAGUCUCUAGUAAGUAGCGCUAGGCAAGAGCAGGGUACUCGAGUUUAGGGCGAGGUUGCCAAGCCAAUAAAGAGAAGAUGAUUUUCAACGAGUGUUAGGUGAUUUGGAGCAAGCAAGCUUCUGAUUCUUGUUUCGUGGUGCCCAAUAUUCUCACUUUAGAGAAGCAAGGGCUAUUAGUGGUUAUCUUUGAGUAUAGAGUCAUUUCCUUUCUUCUACUUACUGGCUUUGAAGCAGUGCGCAAGUCGGCAACAAGUGGUUCUGUUCUGUUCCACUAUUCUCUUAUGUUCUGUUCAACACUAUUGUCUUAUCAAAAGUCAAGAAAAAGAUAGAAACUGCCCACUAGGCUCCCGACAAAUAAGCUGUAUCGAGUAAGUAAGCAGCAAACGGAAAAGCAAAAGUAGACAGAUCAGAAGAAGGUAAAUCCGGGGGUAUUAAAGCCAACUGCUCUCAAUCUUGGUUUCCAGCCCCUUAUAGUAGUGGUGGAGAUAUCUGUUAUUCUUUUCUUGGCUCUCCGUCUGUAUAGGAGUGAGCGGUAUCAAGGGCUAAAGUCAGCAGCAAGCGGGUCGGAUUCCUUUCCAUUCUUAGAUUUUUCAGUGCGAGUGUUGUCGACGAAAUAAGGAUCAUCAGCAGCAGACUGGACAGUUUCCGUUAAGUAUCUUACUCCGAGAGAAGCAGAAGUUCAGGGAAAGUAUCCAGUAUCAAUCAAGUCGAGUUCUAGAAUAAGCUGGAUCCGGGUAUUAUAUGGAAAUAGUCAUUAUUUGGGAAGAGGUGUGGGUUUCUUCUUUUCUCCGUGGGCAUUAUCUGAGGCUUCUUCUCUGUCUUUAUAUUCUUAACUCACUUACUCCCUUGCUGGUUCCGUUGAUUGUUGAAUGGAAUUGAGAUAAGUCACACAUGGUAUAGAGCCAAGUAAAGAGGAUUAGUAAACAAGCCGACUUCCCUUACCUUAGGUAUUCCAAAUAUUAGAUACUAUAUAUGGCUUCCUUGCCUUGACUUUAUUCUUCCUCGACUUCAACUUAUAGGCUCUUUGAACUCCCACUACUCUACCUUAAUUAUGACUUGCGGAAUUCAUAACUCUUGAUUGCUCCUCCACCUCUAUCUGUUCUGUUACUAAGAUAUAGUCAAUAACUCCGGAUAGUAAUGAAUUCUUUGGUUUUCGAGUCUAGUCAAGAAGGAGCCAAUGGGGUAGAUCAGAUCCCGCCUACUUAUUAGAAUCCUUUCCAGUGCUUUCUUCGUCAGCGAGUCGUGGAGGAAUCAAUUGCAGGGGAGAUAUCAGUUCAUCCGCUCAAAAGGAGUUGCUAAGGUUAGCUUGCCUUAACGCAAAUAGUUUGAUGCGAGGUAUCUGAUAGCUUCCGUAACGAACCAUAGCCUCUUUUCUUCAAUUCAAUUAGUUUAUCAUCUGUGUUUCUCAAUUCUUAAAGGAAGGAGUGCUAGGGAAGGAAAUCAAGCCUUAAUAAGUAAGGGCGAGUUGAGUCUACAGGUGUUGAGUCUACAGGUGAGGAAGAAAGAGCUUUGUUUAAUUUCAUGGAAUUUGUUUACUACGGUAUCGGAGCAAUAGAAGGAUCCGAGCGGGCACUAAAAGACUCAGUGUGUUAGUUAGCCUUAUGAGCAAGUCCUGUGUUCGGGCGCAAUAAGGUAAUCGAUUGGGGAAUCAAUAUGGGUCUUGUCCUGGCAUCUGUUUAUUCACCAUCUGUUAAUGAAUUACUUCCCCAGCAAGAUCUUCCUUCCAUUCCCUUGAAUAUGUUGACUUGAGAGUUCCCCCUUUCUAUUUAAAGCUGUUCAUUACUUGCUUGGAAUGCAGCAUAGGCGCUUCGGUCUCAAUUAGUGCGGUUGAUUCCUUUAGAAAGCCACCGGCCUUGUCAGCUCAUCAGUAAGGGUCGAGCAGUCUUCUCUGAUGGUAAUGCGAAUCUCGAAUCUCUUUAGCUAGUCAAUCUCUUGCAAGUGGUCUAUGGCAAAGGCUCAUCUGUCCAAUCGGAAUCGGUCCACGAAUGAGUUCUUUCUAAGAGUCAGUGCUUAUUCUCUGCACUUUUAGACGGAAGCUUUAUACAUGUUACUUCGACGGCAAUCCCAUGUCCUCAGGCAAGGUAUAUUGGUUAGCUAUCCUAUGGAAUUGAAGCUUUUUCUUCGCCGGGUAUGAACGAGAUGGAAGAACCGAUGUAAGAUAGACAGACCGGAUUCCUGUGUCCCCUACGAGCGAAGGAAAAGAAAUGCUUUUCUUCAAGCAGGAAGAAACUCAACUGCUGGGUAAGGCUAGCGGGUAAUAGUAUAGGACUUUCAAGCAAGGGUAGCAAGUCAAGUGUGUUUUCGUAUCGGCAUUAGACUGCUAUGCUCACGAAUUGGAUGAGAACCAAUGACUCUAUUGUAUGAAAGCGAGACUCUAACCGCUCAGAGAAAAUAGACCCCAGAAGAGAAAGCCGGGAAACCAGAGUGACCCUUACGAGAGGGGCGGAGCGCUAAGAGCGUGAUAACUAUACGAAAUGAAGCAGCGGCUAGCACGCUAAGAUAAACCACUUGGUUGGGGAGAACGUGAAGCCUUUCUUUCUCGGUAAUUUAAGUGGAUUCCUUUUCAUGCGGUCGUUCUCUGCUGCAUUGGUGUUUUCACUCCCCACUCUAUACCAUAACGAAAAGUGUCCUCUCAGGAGUUGUAAAAGGAAGUACUCAGGAGUAGGAAAUCACUAAGAAGUAGGGCACAAUGGAUCAAUUCAUUCAACAAGAUCCCUUCGGACCAGGAUGAAUGGGAUUGAUAUUACCUCUCGCUUCGAUCUAAGACUCCCACCGCCGGACAUCUGUCAGAAGAUUCAACUGAGUUAUGCAUUUCUCUAGGAAGGUAAGUUGGGUGAGUUGGCGAAGGAGGGGCUUUAGGAAAGGAGUUGCAUUCAGCAGGAACCGGGAAAGUAGCCAUACCUUUAUUUGUAGCAUAGAUAGCUGUGGGAGACCAAACGAAUCUGUCAAGCGUAAAGUCAAACUAAAGCAGAUGAAGCAUCGGGUAUAGUAAAUCUGAUAAAAGAGCACAGCAGCUAAACCAUGUAUGUGCGCGUGAUUGCUCGUUCGCUUGCAAAUACUUAUCCUCUCGCCCAGGCCCUGGCUCUUUCCAGAAAAGGCCUAAACUCUAUUUGCCUAAGCAUCUUUAACGCCAUGGAGCUUGCCGGUUAUAAUCAAUGAAAGCUAGAUUACCAUAUUCCCGGUGAUAAUCAAUGAAAGCUAGAUUACCAUAUUCUUAUGCUAUGGCUUGGCUUAGCAGGAGGUCAGCUAGAUAGUCGAAUAGGACCCUUUGGAGAGCCGGCUCAUUUAGGCCUUUCUUCCUUUCCAAUUGACAUGCCCCAGAUGCAAAGCUAUAUAUUAAUACACUGACCUAGUUCGCUUAACCGCAUUGACUCACUCGAAGCAUGAGAACAAAAGACGGAUUGAAAACAACUAGUAGUAGAGUAGGAAAUAAAGAAGGAGGAGGUGAGUCCCAAGCCGGGGUAGAAAUAGGAUGAAUAGCUUUUCGACCUAUGGUGGAUUCAACCAAUUUCCUAUCCAUGCUAGCAUUCAAGUUUAGCAAAACCAAGGCAAAUAACUAUGUUAGGGGGAAUUCUCCUACUUAGGCUCAAAGUAGUCUACAUCGCUAGGACCAAGCAAAUCCUUGAAUCAAAAUCCAGACAUGCUCAGGAUGAACGGGAAAGGAAGGGCGUAAGACCUGCCGAGGGAUCUAAAUAGGGAGAUAAGCACGAGUUGUGGUUCGCCAAAAGCUAUGUAAGGCUGCAGAUUGUUUCUCUUCUGCAUUGCCCUUUUAUAGAGAAGAGACCUAGGAGCGAGUUUACGAGCCGGCUUUCUGUCUCUUCAAGCCAAUUCCCUUAUAUCAGAAAUGGUCAUAUUCCCCUUAUAUAGGUAAUAUUCCCCUUAUAUCGGAAAUGGUCAUAUAAUAAAUGGAACUUGUCUAGCCCUCAGGCUGCCGCGCAACAAACUACUAAGCUUGGCCCCGCUUCAUCUCCAACUAACAUGGAUUUCCGUCGAACAGGAGGAAAACAAGUCAUUUAACUUGCUUGCUCUGCGCGCGCACCAACCAGUACUUGAUUCCUCCCCAAACCCCUCACUUUCGAUUCUGAUCCUUAAGAAAACAAACCUCCACGAUACCUUGCUUCAAAGCCAGUAAGAGAAAGAUGGUCUGCCCUGAACGCUGCUUCUGCUUUAGAUCUUUAUUCCUUACCUGCGCUAAGAUCUUCUCCCCUCAAUGAAAUUCUGAACUUCUAGUAUAGGCAGUAUCUAUUUUCAUAGGUCAUUUAGUAACUAUAAGGAAAUAGUAUUCAUUCAAUAGAGAGUAUAACUCACAAAAGUCGUAUAAGUUCGAGCAGUAGGAUAAAGACCUGAAAGCAAGGUUGAAAUCAUCAGUGAAUUCUUUUCCUGCAAGAAGAUCCUCUAGACUCACUUAUGCCCUAGAAAGAUCUAUAUUUGGAGAAUCUAGUCCUGUUAUCGGUUCAGAACAGAAUAUCUUAUUGGCUAGGAAGCUCCCUUUUAAGUAAGCGAGGCAUUCCAUAAUAUAGUAAUAAAUAAGAAAAGUAUAAGUCAGCGAGUAGGGUCGCCCAUAUAGAAUUAAUCAGCAGCAGUAAGAGCAGGUGCAAUCGGGUGAGAGUCGAGUGAGGGCGCUAAGAUGGUUUACCGGCGAAAUCCAAGAGUCAGGGUUGGUUUCAAGCAAGUAGUUAUUCAUUGAAAGAAGAGGUUGUCAAAGUAUUGGAAUAAGAAUAGAAAACCAUAACAUAUGAGUUCAUUGCCAAGAAAAGAGAAUUCUAAGGAUCAGAGAAAGAAUAUGAAUAAAAGUCAGUGGUGAAAAGCGGUGAAGAAUAGGAUUGAGCCCCAAGUAAGUGGUGAAAAGCCUAGUAGUUACUUGUCUGGUUGCUCCUUCCUUUAAGUAAUAAGAAUUGAAGAAUAGAAGAUACUGUACCAGGGGAGUAGUAGUACCCUAAUAUGAAUUCUGUAAUUCCAUUCUUUAAGUAGUCUCAACUCAAUUAAGAAAUGGAAUGUUGGAACUGGUACUACUAUACUAAGAAUAGAAAAAACUGGGUCAGAAUUGAACAAGGAAAGAAAGGGUCAAAUGGAGUUAGUGUAUUUGUAGAGGCUUUCAGCACCUAGUUAUCCUUCCUUGAAUAAUUGAAGUUUACCUGCCCACUGAGACUAUCUACGAAAAAGCAAGGUAUCUGAAGGCACCCGAGGCGACUGUGCGUAAAAGUACUAGUGAAAAAGAAAACGGGCUCCCGCUAGUGUUUCGAAGAAUGAAACAAGUCAUAAUGAAGCCGGAUAUAUGGUAUUGAAUGAAACUCCUUAACAAAGGUGCCUGUAUUGAUUAUGGAUUUUCACUCCUUUAGGUUCAGCUACCUCUGAUUCUCUAUACUCGGCUUGCUCUUGGACAGGACAGGUGAGACUUUCCAGUUUCAAGUAGAUGUAUUCGGCAGUUAGCGAGUCUAGCCCCAACUACCUGGUCACAGCUAAGGAACUGGGCUCCUUAAGAUAGAAGACAGGACUCUACUCGAUAAGAACGUAACAAUAACAUGGAUUAUUUGUUAUUGCUGCUGUUUUUGUCGUCGUUGCUUGUCGAGUUUGGUUCUAUAUGUGCUAUGAGCCGUUCUCUUCUUGUUAUAUUACUGUUACUGUUGUUCUCUUAUUGUUAUUACUACUAUUCUAUAUGCCUAUAAGAGACCAUACCAUACUUAUACUUAUUGGUUUGAUUCACUGAGUUGUAUGUUAGUUCCUCAGAGGUGGGGUAGCAGUCAAGUCUAUUAAUAAGUGAAGUAAGACUGACCAGUUAGAGGGAUAUGCCUAAGCGGGUCAAGUUCCAUUCUUUCAUUGGUAGUUUGAUUCCAAUAAGUCAUAGACGGUUUCUCUAUUCCUAGUCGAGUUCUUCACUCGGAGCUGCCCUGUCACUGCUUGGUUAAAGUAUCCCGCUACUGCCUUAAGCCUUCAAUGCCAUAUCUCAAUUCCGUAGUUCACCUAUUCUUCUUCCACUUAUAAGUUGUAUGCCCUAAGUUCUCAUUGUUACUAGUCCAUGCCCUAAGUUCUCAUUGUUACUAGUCCAUUCCUCUACUACUUUCUUCGCUAAUCUAUUCUUUGAUUUACGUUACCGAUCGAGUUAUGAAAAUCAAUCGCUUGUAUCAAUAUAACAUAGGUGGUAUCAAUAACAGAGCAGAAGAGAGUUUCCUCCGUGCCAAGUCUAUUCUUAUAAUAUCUUAUACAGUUUCCGUAUACGCGAAAAGAAUAAUCAAUAUUAUAAUCAUCUAAAAUAACGUAGUAAGUAAUUGCACAGUGAAAUGAACAAGACAAGACUGCUUUAGAUGUAGAUGCAAGCGAUAUAGUCUAAGGUACUACCAGUAAAGUCAAACUCAAAAGGGGUAGGCUCAUUCUCAUACUGCCUUGGCUUCAUUAGAAUAAGUCGUUUUUCAGUCGUUAGACAGUGAAUGAAAUAAAGUGCCCCUGUUCCUAGCUCAAGUAUGAGAAGCACCGGUUCCACUCUGAGAUAUAGUAAAGCAAGAUGAAAAGGAAGGGCCAAGCAUAUACUACUAAAGAAGAGAGAGGGAAAUUGUUAAUCCUCAGACCAAUUCUUAUACUUAUUAGUUUGUUUAUUUCUUGAUUUUCAGUGGAGAGCGCAGGGUAGGCGAGAAAGACAAAGACAGGACUUGCUCGGGCUUAAGAGAUUCAAUGAAUUAGUGAAAACCAAGGCUAGUUCCGGAGAACCCUCGGCAGGAAGUCAAGAUGGAUUUCGCCAGUCAAGAAGGGGCCAGAAGACUUCCAAAUGCAAGCGCGUCUUCAGAUACUGAGCCUAUUGCAAUGCAGGAAUGAAUGCUAAAUGGAAUCUGAUGGCAUAGGAGAGGGCGGGGAGAGUAUCCAAGCACGCUCUUUCUGAACCCCGAGAGGAGUCACAAAACUAUCCCAAUAAAGAAAGAUGGAAUGUCACACUAUAUAUACUAAACCUCCAGCCACUGAGUAAGCGGACUCUUUCUUCCAAAAUACAGGAGGGUACUUCAACCGAGAGGAACACUGGCUCGGAAUUCGCGAGCUCACGGACUAGACGUAGGACGACAUUACUUGGAUCCUUGUCCUAGCUUGAUGCAAUGAGGCAACCAGUCAGCGGUAAAAGCCUUGCUUGCUCAUCAACUGCUUCAGCUCGGAUUGGCAUCAUUUCGUUGUUGAGCGCUCCAUCCGCAGAAGAGGUUUGGGGCGUCCCAUAUACUAUAUGAGUAUUCCUUCAAGCGAAAGCACCAAUCUAAGGAAAGGAGCAGGAAAUAGCAGUAAGGUAACAACCGGACAUGGGAAAACAGGCAUGUCAUCUCAUAAGAUCCUUUCAAUUGGCUAUCAUCCCUGACUUGCCUUUCAAUUGGCUAUCAUCCCUUACUUUAACCAAAAUAGAGCCACGAUUUCUUCCAGGAAAUCCCAAGAAAAAGAAACAAACAAACACUUUUCCUAUAUUUCUGUCAAUGCCUCAUUGGUUGCCUGCUGCUCUAAAAGUGCUAGGCUAAGCGGAAGUCACCCAUGCCAUACUCCCAGGAAAAGCUCGAUAAGAGUGAGUCUCUCUUUCCUAAGAGCUGAUGGAAACCCGAGCUCGAAGUGGUGAAUCAGCGGACUUCCUCGGACGAGGCCCCAGUUUACGUGAGCACAUUAUGAUGAUGCUUAAGAGGGCUACUUUUGGCGCUGGUUCAUAAAACGAUGAUUCCUUCUUAUUCCUUUUUGAAGCAGAAAGGUAGAUCAGGAUCAACAAGCUCUCUGUCUGUCAUAGGAAAGUACUUUUGGGCUACUGAAGCUGCUAGCUUUCCCUUUCCCAUACAAGCCCGCAAGUCCACACCGUAUAGAGCCAUCUUAUAAACCCCAACACACACGCCAAUCAGUACUGCACCCGGGUUUCCCGAACUUCUAUUUUGACUACAGGCACUACCGGGCAACCACGGCAAUAUCGGCUCCAAACCGAUUGAUUGACCAAUGCCGCCGUCUUGUCACCGCUGUUCCCGAUCUUGUAGCAGCAUCCUAGAGAGGUGGAGCUAACCUGAACUUAGGAAUAGGUGUACAUCGGGUCCUCUAAUCUCAAGCAUAAAACCACAGCCCGCCGCUCCCUAUAAGCCGUUACACUGACGCCUUGUGAUCCUCACAGUCUUUUUGUUGCGUUGCCAUAAUGAGAAAGGCUUAAUUGGUUAUUAGAUCACUCCAGGAUUAGAGGUCGAUGCCACCUAAACAGACUUCUCGAACAUCACUUAAUGAAAUAUGCUCGAGGAUUAGCUUUUUGAUUGAAACUUCCUCUUGAGUUCUUGAGUGACAUUCUUUUUAGUUCAAGUAAUAGAAAAGAAUUGAUAGUAAUCUAUACUUCUUUCUUGGCCUCGGUAAGGUUUAGGCUUUUUAAGACAGACCUCUAGAAUGGGUAGUGCCUUCCUCGUAGUUGCCAUAGGUAUGUAGAGUAGCCGAGCCUCAUUCAAUUCAAUUAGCACUUUUGUUUGUUGCCAGUUGCCCUAGUAUUAUAGAGUUUGAGUACACCACCAGUAGGAAAGGAAUAAGGUCACUAACCACCCGAGUCUAGUGCUAGUGCUCCUUCCUUUCUGAAUAGAGUAUAAGUGGAAAAGUCAGAAAUCAACUCUACAGUGGGAAAGUCAGAAGUCAUCCAUUAAUUCAGAAUUGACCUCAUACCGCCUACCAUGUGCUCUUGAUUUAAAGAAUGAAACUAGAAAGUAGGAAAGCAAGAAGUCACCACAAAAGUGAGAAUGAAACCAAGAAGUCAAAUAGGCAAGCUACUCCUAAUGGACAAGUAACUGCUUUACAAACAAUGGCUACAAAUACUUCUUUCAACAAGCAGCUGGCUCCGCCAAGCACCGUAUACAAAGGCAAAAGAAGCUUCAAUUUCCAGUGACGUUAUAGUUUAAAGAUCCUUAGUAGGAACAGGCGAGUAAGUCAAAAGGUAUCCAGUUUCAAGUAGAGUUAGGAAAUUCAUCCAUUCCUGCUUCGUUCGCUUACUGCUUACUUUGACUUAGCGCUUCAAAGCCAGUACUGUACUUUCUUCUUCCUCGAACAGUACUACCUGGAUUCAGACUAUCAUUGCGGCGUGUGACUGAUUUCUUAGGCAGAGGAGAGGUAUGCCUAAUUCAGUUAAUAGUUCCGAUGGCAAGGAAGCACGUAAGGGUGUUGCAAUACAAGAUCAGAGGGAUAGAGGUGCCGAGAUGAAGCAGUUAUCCUUUCGAAAGAUAAGAUAGGCCAAUAGUAGGGAUAUGAUAGGCCAAGCAAGCAACUCCGACGAAGGGGCAAGCGGACAUACCUGAGUGCAAUUCCAAAUUGAGUGAAUAGUUUGAGUAGCCAGCUGCAGGGCUUGUUUGAUUCUCCGUUAGUGCUGAGGAAGCUAGUCCUUCUUUUGGUGUUCGAGUUUGUGUAGUUCGGCUUGUCUGCUUUCCUGCUUGUCUGCUUGGCCGGUCGUUAUUCGUUGCUUGUUUAGUGGUGCCUCAAUUCGUUCUUCAGCCGUAAGCAAAGCAAUGUCAUCGUAUCCCCAGAAGCGUUGAUUAAGUGGAAAGUGAGCUAGCUCCACGAUAGAGUAUCAUUGUUUGCGAGUUGCCUUGCUUAUUCAUAGGAACGACAACUAAAGUCAUAGGACCGACAACUAAAGCACAGAACCUUACUCAGGAACUCACGUUAGCACUUCAGAAGAACAAAGAAGAGAAUUGAGGUGCGUAUAUAACUGUAAGCAAGUAAACUAACAGCUUUUCCUCCUUUCAAGACAAGACUCAGCUACGCUAAUGCACCAGCACCCUGGAAAGUAACAAAGACAUGUUUGCUCGAAGGGAAGAAUCACACUCACUAUAUCCGCGAACCGAGAAAAACUGGAACUAACAUAACUCCGUUAGCUAUAAGUCACUCGCGUUAGCGCAACUGCUUCCAGCUUUCAUGGUCCUCUCUUUAUGCCCUUGUUGACUUUCUUUUAUUCUUUGCCUGUUUCAAAUAAUCUACCUAGCAACUACAAUAUGGAUCUACCUAACAAAACGGAACUGCCAACUCUGCGGUAACCAAACGGAAACCAUAGUGAAUUGCUUCAAAUCAAACAAUCGUUAGCUUCAGUCUUAUAUGAUAUAGAUAAGUGUGGAAUCUCACUCCUGUGUGGAAUCCUAACUCCCGACUGCUUACUUAACUUAGCGGUAACCUCAGUCUAAACUAACUUAUUGCUUUGCUUCCUUUAGAACUAAGGCUUUCGAUCCACCCCCCCUUGCCUUGUUUGUUUGACUUGGUUAGAAACUAAGUUAGCACCCCGCUCGCUCCGUGGGUAAAUAAGCUAAUGCGCCUUGCUUGUUUCAUUUUGAUAUGAAUGCAAAGAUUCCUGACUAAUAUACUACGCCUCACUGCUUGUUGAAACCUAACUCCUUAAGCACGCACAACACUUUAAGCAAACUUGUUCCCUAGCUUGUUCAGCUAUCUACCUAUUGCUUGUUUAAUCAAAUAUGCACAUCCUAAUAUAGAAUCAAGUCACUUUACAGCCUAUUAGAUAAUGGACUCUCUGAAGAAUAAGGAAUUGGAUCUAGCUAUCCACAAUCAUAUGAUUUUAUGAAAGUGGAGAGUUUAGAGAAGAGAUAUGAGUAUAAUCAACAGACGCAUCAGAACGGAAAUGGAGAAAAUGUUAGUUAUGACUUGACUCAGGACGUAUAGGAAGCAAUAAUGGAUUAACAGAACCCCGUACUAUUCUCUUUCAAUGGCAAAGCCCGUUUUUUGCUAGGGGAUAGAAGCCAAGCUUGGUGGACGAAGCCCCCAUGUAGGGAUCGAUCAUUCUGGGCAAAUAUCUGAGGGAUCGAUCAUUCUGGGCUAAUAUAUUAUAAGAGAUAUUCGGCAUUCCAUACACAAUGUAUUAAUGCCCUAGUUGGAUUGAUUUCAUGAUUCAAAACCUGGGCUUCUUUCUUUUUCGUAUACCGAUAGUAAUCUUUUUCCGAAGCCCUAUAUUACCCCCUAGAUUAUUAAUGUCAAGCGAUUAUUAAUGUCAAGCGCGAAGAGGACAGGACCUACCUCAUUCUAAAGUUCACCAUUAUAAGAGGACAGGACCUACCUCAUUCUAAAGUUCACCAUUAUAUAUAUGUCAUUGAUCUUCUCUUUAGUUAAUCUGGAAGAAGGGCUCAUUCAUGUACAAUCCAGAGCGAGAAGGCAAGAAUAACAUCUCUUUUUUCACAUGGUAUUUCUAGGAAUAAGUAACUUCCACGAUCUUUGAGGAAAGGGUUGUAAUCUCUUCUUUAGAGUUGAAGCGAAUGAGUUUAAUGAUGAGGAAGAAUCUGUCUUCACGCAAAAAGCCUAUACUGUAGGUCGAGAGUGUUUUCCCUACCUCUCCCAUAGGUCGACUCCCGUUAGCACCCCAAGAAAUAAGCUCAAAGCGGUAGUGCGCCGAGCAAAGGCCAUUUUCAUAGUUCAUAUUUCUCCCUUUGGUUUUCCAAAGAGUCUUGCCUAAAGCAGGCCAUUCUCCUCGUUUCCGAGAGAUAGGAAGUACUAGCUUACAUGGACCCUCAAGUUCUCUUUCACUACUUUAGCUCAACAAUCGAAUAAGCACUAACGAGAACUCUAUAUGCUCAUACCAAGGCGCCGUGGUCUUUCUAAUGUCAAGAAUCAAUCAAAUCACAGAUCAUGAGAACUCUUUUUUCCACACAACGACUAAUCCUGAAAGACGACUCUUUCGUUUAAGGAGAAUUCCAAAAUACAGAAAUUGGAUUCGGAGAAAAUGAGGAUACCUGAAACACAAGGCCCGAUGGAAUUGAGCUUCUGCUGUCCCUACUAGUUCCGAUUGCUUUCUUGACUUCUGGAGAAGCAGCUCCUGUACUAAUCAAUUCUUCGGCGGUAAGGAAUAAAAUGCAAUAGAAUGCUUUUCUCAUAGAUAUUUGGACUCCUCUACUACUAUCAACCUUUCUUUCUCUAUAUACUUAUAGAUAGAUCUCUAUAUACUUAUAGAUAGACACAUGCAAUUAAGCUUAUAGAUAGACACAUGCAAUUAAGUUCUGCAAGAAUCAAGUCAUUGUGGAAUAAGACCAGUCUGAACUGUAUUUCUAUUUUGAUAUGAGAAAUUGUAUAGGUGAGUUGUACCUUUCGAAGCCCUAGGAGGUUCAUUGGAUCUAGUUUCCCGGUUUUCUUUGUUCUUCCUUUCUUUGUUUUGCAUGCGGCGUAGUUAAGGGUAGAAAAGAAAAGAUGUUGUUCAAGCAGGGUUCAGGAGAGAAUAACCAGUGAGAAAGUAAUCUACGAGAGGAGAGAGGUCAAUAGUGGAACAGAGCUUAAAGGACUUUCAAGCAAAAGUAGGUUCAAUAACAAUUGCUUAAAGUCAAUCUUUAGUGGGUUCAAUAACAAUUGCUUAAAGUCAAUCUUUCCCAGGGCGCGUAGCGUAGUAAGGCUUUAUUAAAGAUUUGCUUUUCGAUGGUUAUCCCCAUCCUCCCUAUCUUGUGCAGCUUAUCCAUUUCGGCUUUCAGAGUAUAAUAUUUGAUGUGUCAGGGCUAUAAUGGAGUUUCUAAUGGUCCCUAUUGCUAUUGGUAAAGGCUAGUAUCUAAUAAUGUGGAUAAGGGCUCAUUCAUGUAAAAUCCAUAGAUAGUGGGAAGGAAAGAAGAAGCUUGAUUACAAUCCAUAGCUGGAAGGAAAGAAUCCAGUGUUUUUUAGUCCCUAUUGCUAACAACGUAUAUCGGGAUCCCGGUGCCUAAAUGAUCUUCCUUAGAGUCCAAAGUCCGGUCCCUAUUGCUAACAACGUAUAUUGGUCUUUACUCUUCUUUCUAUUCAAAGAACUCAAUAAGAAUGUUAGUUUCUUCAGUUGUGCUAACGGAGCUCAUUAAGGCUUGCUUACCGGAGCUGCCAGAUACUCUACUUGUUGACUUUUUGCAGUUAAAGUGCAGAGGGAUUCUGGCCCUGUCCCUGUGCCUAGGUACGAUAGACUAAAAAGCAAUAGGCAACUUAUUUGAAUCAUAUGUAUUUCGCCCGACGCCGAUAUAUUCCAUUCAGAUAGUUUUUAGUGCUGUGUUUUUACGUUGUUUCUAUGAUAUAUGGGUAUAGCUCUCGUCCGGAUAGGCAAAUAUACGGGUAUAGCUCUGUUCCGGCUAAUAUAUGGGUAUAGCUCUGUUCUGGUCUUGACUCAAUCAUUUUCAUAGCACCUAUCUUGACUCAAUCAUUUUCAUAGCACCUAUGAGAUAAGAGAAGUCGGAUACUAACCUUAACACUGCUCGCAGAAGUGCACAUAAUAAAAUAAAUAGAAAUGCACCUAUAAGAGAAGUCGGAUACUAACCUAACACAGCUAUUAUAUUACUUAAGUAAGAGUGGAAUGGAAUUGAGCGACCACAUAGUCAGUAUAGAAUUUCUGAAAGACAAGAGCAUUGCUUCAAACCUAAUAGAGGAAUUAAUAUGGGCAUAGAACAAUAAAUAGAGGAGCGUAGCGACAUAGAACAAUAAAUAGAGGCGCGUAGCUAAAUAGAAAAUGAGUUGUUAUGUUAGGUUAGUGAGUGAUCGGUAUAGAAUGGAUUGGUAAUAUGACUAAGAUAUCUAUGCUCAUGUUGUUUGUUUCUUUUUGAUUGAGCUGUUCUGCUCCUAAAACUUAGUAAGAUUCUUUAUUCAAGCUCGUUAUUUCCUUUUCUCGAUCAUCAUCCCCUUCUAUAAAGGAAUAGGUCGAUAUUAGAAGCUAUAAUAACUCGGUCCAAUCUACUUAGUAGUCCUUCUAUUCCAGUGGCUCCUCUCCUCAAAGUGAAAUCUCUUUUUGCUUGCUUUUUCAUAGCUAUGUUUCGUACCUUUGUGAUUCUACUUUCCUUCUUCUGGAAAUGACGAAUGUAAGGAUGGCCUAUAUAUGGCUAGCAGCAAUUUCCCUACUUACUCAUCAAACCCGCCUAUCGGCUAAGCCGCCUUUCCCAACUCAAAUGGGUUCUGCCUUUCCCUACAAUCUCUUUUGUUGGCCUAUCCGCCGGCCGGAUGUUCGGACAGAUGAUAAAGAUUCCCUGCCUCCCACUUACGCAAUUGGUCUGUUUAGCAUUCCCUAUUCAUCUAGGUGACUUUUAGAAGUCCGUAAAGAGAUAAGUCUGUAAAGAAUCUAUGUUCAAGUGUUAUUACCGAGUGCAAGCAUCUUUCUGGGAAGGGUUCGCUUACGGGAAAUCUAGAAAAGGAGUGAGAGUUACCUUUCCAUUCACCUCACUUAACCGACCAUGUAAAGGCCCUUGAUAAGGCUUCUUUAACGUCGUUUAACAUGGGUUACACUCAGAACAGAAGCUUCCACCCAUUUCGACUCGCCAAGCAACCACUAGUUAUCGGUACUAGAUCAUACCAGUACUAAUACCAUUCAUAUACUUACCAAUACAGAUACAAAUCUCCUGAAUCCGCUAAGCUUGAUCUGAGGCACAAGAAGUCGCUGGCUAAGAAUCUUAAGCUACUGGCUUUGAUGCGGGAAUAUCCGUUUUCUCAUCAGCGGGAAGUAUUGUCACUCACUACUAUAUGUCUUAUUGGAAUGUUUUCUUUCGAUCCAUCUUAUAGAAGCUUAUAUAAUAAUACUGAAAAGCCCUUCUUCUUCUCCCUUGGCAACUAUCCACCUGUCACUGCUACCCCGCUUCUUCUCUUGAAACUCAAUCACCUUUACCCCCGGCUCCCUCUAAUGCUUCAUUUACUUACUUUGAAUCCAGAGUUCACCUUUCUUUUAUGCCAGGACCACUACUAGUUUCAGAGCGGCCGAAAGCAUCUACGAAGACGAGCAAUAAUCUAGUAGGGGAGCGCAUCAACAAGAGAAGAUAACUCCGUUAGCACAACUGACUACUAAGCUUGGUGGUUUCAAACCUUAACCUUGCCUUGAUACUUGCCUUCGAGCGCAACAGGUUUUGGGCGAGUGUGAAGUAAGUUAAGUAAAUAAAUAAUGGAAAUGAAGUGCACGACAACGAAACUCAUAUAAGGAAGUAACCUAACAAAGAAAACCGUUUGUUCUUGCGCACCACGAACCCUUUCCUUUCCUUUAAUAAGCCUAAGCCAGCCUCAUUAUUUAGUCAAAGUGAAAAGAUAGCUUUUCUUUCCGUAAGCCAACACCGCGGACUCAUCCAUAUCAGGACUAAGAUCCAUAUACUGCUCCAGCGGGAUAAGAAGCAAGUCCUGUUUAGUUACUACGCAGGGAUGGGAUAGUGAGUUUUGAAGUGAAUAAGUAUAGGUUCGGUGUCUAGGUUCUUGGCGCUUUACCUUAGUGGACGACUUCAUAUUUAAGUGAAGAUCAAUCAUCUCUAAGCGAAGGAAGGCGUUCAAGCCCUCUUUUGAGUCGUUUAACCUAUGUUACACUAUGCUAAUAGCAAAUCCUACAUUAAGAUACUCUAUCAGCAGUUUGAAAUGCUUUUUUGCCAAAUAAGAUAGACUGAUUAACUCCCUAUGAAUUUUACUUGAAAGUUGAAGCCGAGAGCCGAGAAGAGGCAUCAGAGGGUUGUCGACAACAGACAGAAGAAGCCAGAUCAGGAUCGGAGGCUGGGUCAUCAACAAACUAGGAUGAAACUUGGGAUUCCACUAGGGAAGAAACUACUGCACCAAACGAAACUUCCCUGUCCACUCUAGUAUACGCUUGCCUGGUGCCUGGUGAACUGAUUGUAUGCCGCUGCUUGGCGAGUUUCAUCCCAAACCUGUAUACGAGUAGGCCAGUAGUAAGCCCACCGAUUCCCCAAGGAAGUUACUAGGCCUGCAUCUAGGGCAACUCAGUAGUAACAGAAUGCAACUAGCGACUCUAAACAAAGUCAGAUAUAAUAAUAAGAUAUAAUAUAAUAAGAGAGCCUCAUUCAGUUAGUAAAAGGGGCGGGUAUCUCGGUCGAAAGGAAUCAAAUAUGGAGUUUUCAAUGAGCCAAGCUACGUAUAAUCCUAGAGCUCCUAGAGCAUAUUAAGUAACUCCACUCACUACUACUAAGAUAAUAAGUGCAACCACUCACAAACUAAUAAGAAUUAGACCACCACUAAUAAGAUUGGAGCUGUUAGGGGGAAUACCGGAGUCUGCCCUGAACCCAGCUUCCUCACCCGAUCCAGCGGAUUAUCUUGAAACUGAAGAAUUCCACCAUUGAGUCAAAGAAUGAAAGUGAGCCUCUCCUCUUGGAGGUCAGGAAGUAGAGAAUAGCUGCCAGUUGACAAAGGUAAGUAGAUAAGUCUCAUUCAGUGAGCAGUGCGGGUGCUAGGGCAGGUGGAGUUGACCGGGCAGUCAGAAGUGUACGAGUGGAAUCCGUCUUUGGUUAAGGUUCAGAAGAUCGGAUUGCAGCUGGCUCUGUAGUAGCGGCGGAGAACUUUCUUGCCUAGUUGCUAAGGGGUUAAGCUAUAUACUGAGUUGCCAUAUAAGCAUAAUGGCUUGUUUCAUUCUUUGCUCCGUACUCAACAAAAGCGUACCUCACUUCAUGGAAUUAGUUGACUACGGCUAUGAAGGUAUCAAACAUGAGAACAAGAGCAGUUCCAGUAGUAAGAAAAGAUUCCAGAGCUGUUUACGUUCUCAUUAGUUCAAUUCCAAUACGCCGGGUAGGUUUAGAGAGAGAGAGCACCACUACACUAAGUUGGCAAGAGAGGGGAGGUCGGCAAGCAACUCUUACUUUCAAACUUCCACCCUUCUACUAAUUUUACUACUAGUUAGGUCAAGAAGAAGAAUAUAGUAGAGUAACCAAGCUUAGGCAGAGCAAUAGAAUCCGCAGUAAGAGAAUCCACAUCCGCAGUGCUGGGAAAUGUUGUUUAUGUUUUCUUGCACUAGGGAUAGAAUUAAUAAGAUAUAAUAUAAUAAGAUAUUAGCUUCAAAAUCACUAGAACAGCCAAUAGUUACCUUCAUUUAAUAUUGUAUAUUAUAGCGACCAUACACCUACUCGUUCUUUUAGUUGCACCAUUCAUUUCUUUGUGAGCGGAAAGGUAUGCUCCGUCUUCGGUCGGCAUCCCGCACUCUUAACUUGUCUCCCGGGAAGCCAGUGUUUUUGUAGCACCGUUCAUUCUUUGUGAGCGGAAAGGCAUGCUCAGUCUUCGUUCGCUGGUGCACCUACUCAUUCUGUGCUAUGGCCCAAGCACUCUGUCUUCGGGCAAUGUCGUUCAUGCAUCAAAGGGUGAUUGUCUAUGGGGUAAUAUCACCUACUCUGUGAGCAAUCAUCGGACCAAUCAUUCAAUUCAGUGAGCGGACCUCCUCGUAGAAUAAGAUAUAUCAUUCAUUCUUUUAUCGGUGGUCAGUCUUUUCUUUGUUCGUUCGUUCCAGGACUCAUUAUUCAAAUAAGAUAACGCAUUCUAUGAGCUAGCAUUCACUCGUUCAUUGUUCGGUAUCUAAUAUUCCAACAAACAAGGAGCAUAAUCAUAAUAAUCAUCGGCAGGAGUUAGGAGAGGCGAUAGGCUAGAGAGUUCGGGCACUACGUUCAACAAGUAUUGUCGAUUCUGAAAGUGGAGUUUCUAGUUUCAUCUUUGUUUGUUGGUGAUGAGUCUACUUCUGUGCUAGUGUCAUUGUAAACAAGACCUGUUGCUGUAUCAGUAGUUGGAGCAGGGGUCAGAAGCAAUAGAGGAAGCCGUUUCUUCCCUUCAAUACGAGGGCAGUUAAGUAAGUAGAGUAGUUUCAUCGGCUUUAGUUCCUUAACCACUGCAUCGGAUCUUUAUCUACUAUACCUUAGCCUCUAUCCCUUUUUUCUCACAGCCUCUAUCCCUUGACUUUAAGUAAAGUCUACCUUUCCUUUAUCCAAGCUUGGCUCUGCCUCCCCUUUACCUUAUUCUUAUUUUCCUUACCACAAUAGGGCUUAGGCUCCUGCCUUAACUGCUAGUUUCAAACUACCGCCCGGACAUACAAAUAUGAAUUCCCUUUCUCAGGACUAAGCUCCCCACUCCCAAUCUAAGACUUUGGACUUCCAUGCUUUAGUUCGCCCUUGCAUUCCUAUGUGCGAGUAACAUAAGUGAAAGAAUGCCAACUAAGAAGUAGGGAAUGAAACCAAUACUACUACUAAUAGUGGAAAUAGCAACUCGGAAUUAGACAAUCGGGGCCAACCCUAUUAAUGAAACUUCAACUACUAGGGAUCGAACUACGAAUAAGGAAUCCCACAAAUGCUUAGCAAACUCAAACAGGGGCAUGGGAAUCCACUAUUGGAAUGAAACUGCUGCUAACAAGGCUAACUACCUCACACCUGACUCUCCUUGGGUUAAGUCUCCCAUUUCUUCAUAUCAUUCUCUAAUUCCAGGAACGCCCCUCUCUCUGCUAGCUCCCGGGCUUACUACCUAUUCCUGGAGCCUCCCUUUCCUGUCUAUUAGCUUUAUUACUCUAUUCCAUACUACGCUAUAGGGGAUUAAACAGUGUCUAUAGGACUUAUGCCCUAACACUAAGACUUAUUUUACUGAACUGGGACCUUGCCUUACCGUCUAUUAGCCUUGCCUUACUUACAUCAUUCUUACAGUGCUUACUCUAUUAGCCUUGCCCCUUACUUACAUCAUUCUUACAGUCUUUGCUUUCGUUCCAACACCGCUUACUUGAUUUCUGGAACUAUGUAUGGGAUGAGAUUUGGAUCCUCGCUUCUUAAGAUGUAGUCUCCUAUUCCGGGCUAUCAAAUUGUAUCUCAGCUUUCAACCUACUACCACUAGGUUCAAUCCUGAUCGACAACCCGGGCUAACAAGAAAGAAUCCACGACGAAACUAAGGAACGGAACUACUAUACUACAAAUAAGAAGGAAAAACGAAUAAACAGGAACAGAACUACUAUACUCCAAAUAAUACUUAACUUUUGGGGAGCGUCUCAAACUAGUGCUAACAGGAAUUGAGCUGCUGGCAACCAAGCUAUAACACUGUAUUCACUAGACGAGAACUCAAAACUUGGGAUCUAACUACAGGUACCGAGACCUUCACUAUACUGCUUCUCAGAAUGCACUACUGCCACAUUAGAUUAGACCUGCCCACUGCUUGUAUUAGAAGUCAACUACUACACCCAUCAUAUGGAUAUUAGAAAAAAUGAAUUGCCUAUCCUAUGAAAAGAUCAGCCUCGCCUGUAGUAAUAAGAGUCUGAUCGGUACUAGUAAAAGCUUAAAGGCGAAUAAGCAAGCAUUAGAUUCAGUAGUUCACUGAGUUAACCUCGUGAUAGGUAUUGAAGGAACAAAUAUGAGAAUGAGAUCUAGUAGUGGAAGAGUGUAAGUUAGUUUGUAAGAAUGCGCUCGGUGGGUUUAUUGUAGACAUCCUUUGGAUCCGCGCUAUUCCACUUUAGAGUUAGGCAAAUCCGACUUAAAGAUAGUAGUAGCAGAGUGCAAGGCAGGCUUGAGGCAUGGAGUGGUAGAGCCAAAGCAGAGAGAGAUCCGGAUCAUUAGAUAAAGAGUAGAAGAUAGGCGUGUCAGGCCCAAGUAAAGGAUGGAAGUAGGACAGGGGCCAGCUACGAAAUGAAAGCAAUCCUCAGUACAUGCCUCCCCUAUAUUAGUCUGAUAAUACUGCCUAUUGGUUUGACUUGACUUUCUUUUCUUGUUCCACCGUUCUCAUAUACUGUAUUUCAAGUAUUGAUUCAGUGUCAUUUAUAUGAGAUUCUACCGAUCCGGAGCCUUACUUUACUAACGGAAAGGCUUGAACUACAAAUACAGAAGUUGACUCACCUGCCCAAGACUGCCCGGCAAACGGUACUAUCUACCUUACUUUCUUUUACUGCUGACUUUGAUUCUGAAAUUGAUUAGUUGCUUUCUUUGCUUCUUACUCUCUUGCUUAGAUGGAGCCUUGCUUACAAGGGUAUUUCUUAUUAUUAUCAUAUAGUAGAGUAGUUCACAUCACUAGUAGCAGACCAGUGUAGUAGUAGUAGUCAGUUCCCCAGGUAGUGUGUAUUAGAUUCGUUCCCCUACUCGCCACUCCCACUCCCUUGUUUCAGUCCGACUCCUCUUGGGUUAAGUUUUACUCCUCCGCUAAUAGGAAAUGAACUGCUGGCAAACAGGGCCUGAUUCUCAUCUUUGUUCUCAACCUGACAUCACUGCUUUUCGCUCCCUAACUACUGAAUCGGAUCCCUGCUACCUUGACACUUAGCCUGGGGCUUACCCUACUACCUUACAUACCUAACUACUGGAUUUGGAUUAUUACUACCUUUGCUUCCAUUCCAUUGCUCUUGUUCUUGCUUGCCCCUGUUGGGUCUUGUUGUGGACAUCUCUUCCUUGUUCGCUUUCCACCCUUUUGUCUUGUCCCUUUCUGGAGUUUGGAUUCCUUCUUUGUUUCCUUCCCCACAUUGGGCUCUUUAGUCUUGUUUCUGCUCGUCUUCUCUCCGCGUUAUUGUUCUGCCUCUCUUGCUCCUUUCCUCUGACUGUCAACACUUACUGUACGUUGCUUCCGGCUUGUUCUCAGCUAUUCCGUUCAGCUGCCCAGACUCUCCUAGGAUCUAAAUAGAAGAUAUUGGAACCCGCUUAAGUACCUCGGGAAUUCAUAGCAUAGUGUUUCAUAGCUCAUUCAUUGAGGUACGAUUAACUGGUCUAGUUUUUUGUGUAUUUAAACGUUAUUCUAUAUUAGAUUCUCUUCCAUCUUAUUUAGGGAAUUCUACUAAGAAACACCAAGUUCUUUUACGAUUUUGAUAAGGGCAUACUAAACCAAGUGAGUGAGCCUCCGAGUUCCGAGCUAGGGUUUUAUAAGCUGUAGGAGCAGGCGAGGGAGUUCGGCUCUGCCACUGCUUUAUUGCUACCUUAGUUUAGUGCUCGAUCUUGCAUUCUGUCUUGUUCAUUUCAUGAUGAAAUUAAGUACUCUGGUCUCCUAUUAAUAAUCCUUUGAAUAUAUCUAUCUGAAUUCUGAAACUAAUAGCUCUGGGCCUUGUGUUCCUAUUGCGCUAGUCCGCCCUGGCUUACUUUACUUCUUUGGCUAAUGACCUAAAAGCUGACCUUCCUUCCUACUAGUCUACCUAUACUUUGUUUGAGUUUGGCUUUACUGCCUACGCGAGCACAGCUACUAUACUACUAUGGGAAUACCACUUAUGAGAAUCAAAGACGGGUAACAAGGAUGAAGAGCGUUAGCCAAGCAACGUAUAACUCUAAGUCGGCCACAACCCCCCUUGAUCUUAUUCUUUUAGUUGGCCCUCGCUCUUUCUUUUAUUAAUCUUCCGCUAGCUCUGUCUAUAAGGCUGCCUCUCCUUUAUUUCAAACUCAAAUCACCGCUUCUAAUACUUUAUAUUAGAUCGGACCACUGCUUCCAAGGCUGCCCUAUUGCCAAAGCACCCUUUACCGACUAUCGGGCUAUCCGUGUUUUCAAACUGUAACUACUGCCUUACGCUUUUAGUUAACCUUCUAUUGCAAUGUUUUAGUAUCAAUGGGCUAGGUUAUGAUCUAGCAUAGUAUCCGAUUUAGAUCAGGAAUACAGGAUGUGGGUGUUGAGUCUCGUAGGCAGAUUGUAGCUAGCAGCAAUAGUAGAGAUCAAUCCAAGAAGACAGAAUGGAACUAACCAGUAAAAGAAUCAGGGGUGAAAUCGAGUUUUAAAGAGAGCAGUGCCAGGCCCGGAGCUAGCUUAAGGGUUAAAGCCCGUGGGGGGCAGACCAGCAAUCGAGCUAUGCAGAACAAAAGAGAGGAAAGGUCGCCUGAGAUGUAGCAAAGUAAGCCCGAGAGGCAGGUUAGUUAGGUGUAUCGAAAGUAUUGGAAGGGUUGUAGUUGGGAGUGACAUACUCGUUACUCGGCUCGGACAGCGAUACCAAAGAGUCAGUUUCAAAGCAAAGAUAGUGAGAGUUGGAGCAAGCAAAGAAAGGCUUGGCUCCUGGGGGAGAUAGGUCCGUUUUCUAUUGCUGAUAGUAAGGCUUGGGCUACUACAGUGCAUUCUGAUUAGUCAUAGUAUAAUUAAGUGCCAGACAAAUAAGGAUCAAAACCAGCAGCUAAAGAACUCAAGUCAUCAGUUGAGGAAUAAUAUGCAGUAAGUAAGAAUGAGGUUUAAGCUAAAGAAAGCAAGUAAGUAGCGGGAGGGUUUGAUUGAAGUAAAGAGUUAAGGCGGUAGGGCUGUUGAUACUGGUCCUGUUCAUGUGCUACUGAGUCCAAUUCUAAUAGUCAAUAGUCAAGUUCUGGUAGCAGCAAGUGGAAUUCAAAGGUGAAAUACAACUUUGAAGCAGGGGCGUAAGAGUGAGAUCAGGAGAUAAAGAAUUGAGCGUGGGAAGGGAGUUCGGAGUGCCGGGGCAGUAAGUAAGGCUUGGCAUGUACCUAGAUAAGUAGAUAAGUAAGGUUCUAACUCAACCAUAAGAAUAAGAUAAAGUCAAGUAAGCCUAGAUCCCAAGCUAAAGAAUUCCAAUAAGUAGUCAGAGUUUUCAAGCGUAGAUGCUGUUUUCGAUCAAGAGGUAUUAGACUAAACCAAAUACUAAUAGGAAUGGAAGGGAGAAAACUGUACUAGCUCAUAGCUCAUUAAUAUAUAUGGAAUUAGUUACUUACUCUCUAUGCCUUCGGGUGCUGAAAGCCUUAAAGACGGGUGAGGUAGUCUUAGAUAAAGUCAGAAAAGCAAGGCUAUUUGCCAGUAGCCCUUUUCUUGUUAGUAGCGGUAUCAGAACGGAGAAGCGAGAAGGAAAGCAAGGCCCUAACUCGAACUACGGAACGAUAUAAAGUAGUUUCGGACUAAAGAGAAGCUAGGCAUUUGUGUUGAAGGCGGGAGUGCCGGAGUGAGCCCAGUAAGUAAAAGAGUCAAAGUCAGUAACUAAGGAAUGAGUUCCGAGCCGAGGUCUCAUAAGUAGGGUUUCGUUUCGUACUGAUAGCCGGGAAAAGGGCGGGCCCAUAGGUGAAAUACAGAAUUGAGUCGCUAAGUCAAAGAAUCCAAAUAAGUAGUUCGACCCGGUAGAUAGUAAAUAAAGUAUGAGUUCCGAGUUCUCUUCUUAUAGUUACUUGGCUGAGUGUCUUGUAGUUACUUGCCUAGUGCCUUGGCGGUCGAACAAAGGACUUGUAGGCCUGAAGCUAACUGCCGCACAACUAAGACUCCCCACGGGUAGGAGAGUCGUUCGAAUAGCUUUCAAACUCACAUAGCUUGUUGCUUCUGUAACUCCUUACGCUCUGGACUCGGGCUUGUAUUCAAGGAGCAAAGGCCUUACUCUAUUCCCCAAUCCUUUCUCCCCAGUUCCGCACCUGUCUUUGGUACGAGAAGAGCUAGUCUCUCUUUUCUUUCCUAUUCUAUAAUAGAGUCGAGUAAAGUAGACUUCUUAUUUGACUCUUUACUGGCUCACUUAGCUUAGCAAGACAGACAACGAAAUUGAGACUUCACCCAAUAAUCUAAACUCACAGCAGCAUUGGCUUCCUAAAUAACUCUCUGACUUCAAUUGAUCAUAAGAUUCAGAAAUACAGGAAAGGUGAGCUUACGAAACGAAAAGCGCUGCUGACUCCUUACUUUACUCGGGGCAGGGAGACGUAAUUGGAAUCUCGGGCCCGGCAAAUAGUUAUCUUGGCUUUUUCUCUCAUGUAACUCUUUCGUCCCUCGCUUCUUCGACUUGAUAUGUGACGAGAGACUUCCACUUUAUAUGUAUAGUCACUUCUUUUAGGAGUUUCGGAUUUGAAGCAAGACUUUGUUAACCAGAUUCCAUAGCUACGGAUUCUUUCCACCCAUACUAACAAACGAACCUAAAACCGAUGCUGGAAGAAUUGGAACUAAUUGUGCCACAGUCGAGCGUUUCUGUCCUGCGUGGAGGCUUCACCUCUAUUCCGUAUUGAAAGUCUGUAUUGAAAGCUCCAGCACAACUCACUCUUAGCUUCCUUAGUAAUUAAGAUUGCUUGUUCUCUCUAUAAUAGAUCUAAGUUCUUAAUCUGAAUUGUUCUCUUUUGCAUAAAACAUAUAAGCAUAGCAUAGGAAAGUGACUUCUUCUUAUACUCCACUCUACUUAAGAAAAGAAUCCUAUUAUACCCAACUACACUGAAGAAAAGAAUAUAAGUCAAAUUGAGCCCUUGUUUGCUUGGAGAUACCUUCUACUUUAUACCUACCCUAGCGAGAGCCCUUCAAGAUGUUAACAAAUAAGAUGUUCUAGAGGAGGAUGUGCGUCAUGGAAAGUGAAAGAAUUGAUUGAAUCUCACUCGCUAAUAUAGCCUUAUUACCUUAACCCCCUUAUAUACUCAACGAGCUUCUUGAUAUGAUACAACACCUUUCUACUGGACCUCGACCAGAAACAUCAUUUCCUGCGGAAGACGAGCCCCGGUAUAUAAAGAAGUAAACACACUGCAACAUGAAACUGCCCCCGCGGAGUCUGUCUUGCCUAAAGCAUUUGUUUCUUGUUCCGAGUCAAACAGUCAAGUCAUCUUUCGAGCAUCGCAUUAACCCUAGCUGUAAAGACUGUUGAUCCGAAGUCAAUUCCUAUUAUUCUGAACUCGAUGCUCUACGCGGAAUGUCCACUUCCGACAGCGCUAAGUCUUGAGCAACAGCCAAAUAUAUUAAUUAUAUAAGAGAGAAAUACUCAAUAUGCAGAGUAGGCGUACCCUAUUCUAAUAUGAAUCAUUGGCAACAGGAUCAGAAACAGAAUCAUCAGCCUUAUAAGUAUCUUCAGCGGGAAGUAAAGGAGAAGUCGGAAAAAGGUCAUCAUCUAUUCAUUAUUAAGCGUUAAGUCAUGCCAGGCCAAAACCCAGAAGCAGUGGCGCCAGGGAGAGUUGUUGAAUGAGGGGAAGCUGUUCCAGUAUUGCAUUUGGUAAUAAGAGAGGAAGAGGUUAAGGCGAGUCAUAAUAGGUGUGAUAAUCAGAGGAAGAGGUUAAGGCGCUUGAUCUUAGACGCUUUACGUCGGUAUAGAGAGAUGAUUGGCUGAGCGAGUUACGUCUAGGUCCGGUUAUUGGCUUGACUUGAAUCCUCUCGGUUAUUGGUUUGACUUGAAUCCUAUAUAAAUCGAAAUGAAUGAUCAUCUCAACUGCGCCCUGAGUUAAGGAAAGGAAUAGUCUAAAGGAAGCAGCAAGCCCUAAGUAACGUUCGAGCACAACUUCUCUAACACGCUUCAUUAGUAUUGUUUGGCGACGAAAGAGGUUAUUGGCAGAGCGGGGAUAGUGUUAUCAACUCGAAUUGCCUGGCCUGAUUCUUAGUGCCCUACUGUAUCCUUUGACAGCUAGAGGAGGUCUAAGAACCGGGUAAGUGCAAUUCCAUUCAUAACUUCAAGUCGAGGUCGGGGUCGGGCGUUAAGCAAGAUAAGAGAGAUAUUCCGCAAUUCGAGUGCUACUUCAUUAAUACGAUUGGCUUUCCCGAGUUUAGUAGUGAGCGGUUCAGAACAUAAAGUAACGUUCGAGCAUUGUCAGCAGUGAGAUCCGUUAUUGGCUCUAACACUAAGUCCAGAGUUCUGGUUUGUGAACUUGGAGAAUUGCCUUAUUGUCCCCACCGCUCAAGAGAAAUAGAAAAAGCUUCCUUGCUUCCCUAUAGAUCCAUCUUAUCUCUCAGGUAUCCAUAGGAAUAAGUCCAGGUUCAAAUAGAGAAAAAGGUGUUAUUGAAUUCCAUACGCGUAAAAAUAGAUGAAAAGGUGUUAUUGAAUUCCAUACAAGCAGUGGGCUCUCCAAUUCCAUACUUAUAUGACAUGCGAUAAGAUCCCGAUCCUGUUUCAUAUCCAUCUCCGGAUCCAGUUUAUACAGUUGGUGUUCCGCUACCCUUCUCAUCUAUCGCGGUCAGAUCAACUCCCAUUGCUUAGUACGCAGGCAAAAGAAAAGCCAUUAUUCAUAAAGUUAUUGGAGUAAAGAGAAGCAAGCAGUGAGUUUCUAGUUCGCCACACUAAGGGCGUUAGGGUUGCUGGAACAAGCCCUUGUUAUCGUUGUUCGAGACGGGACGCUUACGGCUUAUUGACUUGUGCAUUAGCUUAUAGGUUUGAUGGGUGUGCAUUAGCUUAUAGGUUUGAUGGGCGCUAUAUCUGUUUCGGGGCGCAUUAGAUUGACGGCUUGCUUGGACCACAACUAGGUAUUGGCUGUAACCUCUAUCUACGAGAUCACUCGCACCAAAAUAGACUCUACUGAUUGACUUACAAAUAGACUCUACUGAUUGACUUACAAAUAGACUCUCUCGAUUCACUUAGGUGUUUAUAAGCUGAAGACUUGACCGCUACACCUGCCCUGCUUUGCUUACCGCAGCACAAUCACCUCUAUCUACGACAAGGGAAGGAGCUGAGCUGGACAAUCUGUUUACUACUUUGACACUGAAUCAUCACUUACCGACACUAAAACCCAAAGAAACUCCACUUGAACUUGAAUACGAAACUAGAAACUGAGUAUUGCCAAGAGCGGAACCUCUCUAGACGACAAAGACAAGAACGGAAAGAGACUCCAGGCCAGAAGCGCAGCGUGAGCUUGAUGGUUAAGAAGAGAGGAUUGCUGUCAUUGAACUUGCACCGAGUCACCCAUGAAACCAAGGAAUCUAUCUUGCGCCAAUCGAGCACAAAGCUCCUCACGCGCAAAGUAUCGUCGGUGGCAAUAUGACCCCCUACUCUAUAUGAUCUGGCAAUACCUCUGAUUCUGAAAACGAUGAAGCAUACCCGCUUGCAACAACAGAACUCUAUGAGUAGUUUGAUGCUUACUUUCUUUCUACGGCCUCCUCUUCUCCCGCUGAUGCGGAUUCUCUGUCUUCCCUUGCAUAGCUUGUUGAGCUCGAGCAUCAAAGUCAUAGUGCCGUUGCUUGUUCCGUAGCUGGUUGACUCGCUUCACUCAUAUAGAUAUCUUUCUGGAUUUAUCAUAUAGAUAUAUUUGUUGAUUUAUUAAGUACUUAGCACUCCUUCCCUGACCGCUACGUGGGCAUGAGAUAAUAACCCAAACCUCUCUUUACGCUCUACAAAACCUCUCUCGUAGACGCCAAGAACUAUACGAAACUACUAUGACCGCACCAAACAAGCAACUCCGGACUCUAGCCUUUCCCUAACAAAACAUAUGACAGCUGGCUCUAAUGAAUUGAAUGGAACUGACUAAGAAAGCAGAACCUAUUCGUAUUCGUAGGUGUAGAAGGGGUAUAAGAGCGAGCGUAUAUGUUGGUGCGCAGGUGAGUGAAGUAAUAUUUUAUGGUGCGCCACUCAAUCAGUUACUAUAUGUUUGUGUUCUAAAGUCAAAAGGUGUUUGGUGCCUCUUGCUUAAGUACUGGGUUGAACAAAGUAAUCAAUUCAUGUAAAGUGCAAACAAGGGUAUAACAAAACAAACAAACUGCAGUUUGCCUCUUCCUAUCAUAUUGAGUGUAUUCCUAUCAUAUUGAGUGUAUAGGGUGCUAACUCGAAUGACUAUAAGGUAGGCAGUCUUGGUUCUUAUUUGAGUUUCGGAGUUUAACUUAAAUGCAAUUGAACUCUGCUUUAAGAAAAUAUCACUGACACCUUACUUAUAGAAAUUAGUAACAAAACAAAUCAUUGCUUCAAAACAGAACUCCGUAAGUGCUACUUCUAUUAGACUAAGUAAGCUUGUAAGCGUAAGCUUGUUUGCUUGUUGGCGAAGAGAGCGCUCAUCGUAUAGAAUUGAAGUGAAAACCAUAGCAUAGCUCUUGUUCUAUAAUAUGAAUAGAUAGCAUAGCUCUUGUUCUAUAAUAUGAAUAGAUAUAAGUGCUCUAACUGACAUCUUUUAGAGUGCUCUAAACAAACUGGAAAUCUUGAAGAACGAAUGUAGGCACCCGCUUCUAUACUUGACUAUUGAAUGGAAUUCACCUAUACCUAAAGGAUUCCGACUAGGAGAUGAUCUUCCAUUAUCAUAGAACUACCGGUACCCUAAUGGAGACAUACAUUAUUUAUGCUAGGCACCCAAUAGUAUCAAAUAAGAAUUGGAUAAAGAAGAGAAGAUAGUGCGGCACACCUAUUAGAGAAGAGAGUAACCCACUAGAACACUAUGUAUUUUGAAACUCACUGAACUAAACUCACUAGUACAUAUAAGUGAAAUAGUCACCAUUAUUCUACUCAACUAUCUUAUGCUUAUGGACUUCCCGCUCUGGUCAGGUAACUUUUAAUAGGAAGAGGAAAUCGUACUUACAGCCUACAUAGAAAGGUAGUAAAGGGGCAAGUGGGUCAAGGGGCAGCUAGCUCGACUCCAUCCCUACCAAGGCCUAAGCCCUUUUCUUUUCUUUUGGUGGACGGUCUUCAAUAAGUCACGCGUUCGCCUAUCCCGUAUACCGAGCGAGGAGACGAAAGAGAUAGACCGAAAUCUCCCUUCACGUUCGGCAGUAGGCAGAAAGCAGUAACUAGCAGGGGUAAGUUCCCCUUGGCAUAAUGCAUUCCAUCUGUCCUGAGUUUCCUUGUGAUCCAGCCAUUCCGCUAGAAAAAGAGAAAGAAAGCGAGUGGCGCUAGCGAGGAGAGACUUGGAUUUCGCCCGGAGCCCAUUCAUGUGGCAGUCCCUGUUUAAAGUAGCCAUAGGGUUACCGUAUCAGGCCAUUGAUAAGAGUCUCCACAACAGGAAUUGCUCCCGAGCACAUAGCAAGUAAUAAAUCAAUUCGAACAGCACAGGAACUAGCGGCCCCUUUUUUCACUCGCUACCGUUUAGCUCACUUCCUACCGCCCAGAACACAUCUAUUGUAAUAAAAAGAGUGGAGCGGCAGGAGUUCUCCCGCACAAAGGCUUGGUUUACUCCACAGAAAAUCCAUAAUGGAAUGGAAUUAUUAUAAUGAUCAAAAAAGAUGAGAAUUGACACUCUACUUCUUCCUAUUAGUUUAUAUCGGUGUAGUAAUAAGGAAAGUCAGCCUAACAAUCAAGCAAGCAAGGCUCUAAGGGUAACAUUCCAUAAAAUAUUUCAUAAUUCCAAACAGUAGUACCGGGAACAAGUACAGACCUUUCCGCGAGGAGAAAGAUUUGAUCCCCCGCGUUUUAGUUUGAAAGCCAGGUUCGAGAUAGAGUGAGCGUAACAAGUAAGAUUGACUACCUGCUUCGAGAUAGAGUGAGCGUAACAAGUAAGAUUGACUACCUGCCCUGGUAUUCUAUAUAAAUCACCCAUCAGUACAGAAUGACAGAGGUAAUUAUAACACUAGCAUGGACCCCACGGGCGUUGCGGGGACAACUAGAGAUAUUAGAUCGGGAGCGGAAGAGCUUGAACUCAGUCUAAAAGUGGGGAUCAACGAGUGAGCGGAAAGAAAACCUAAGACGGUAGAAACUAAGCCCCGCCCAAUGGCAUUGAUGAAGUGCCCCGCCCGGUGGCAUUGAUGAAGUGCUUCUCUUCUCCCCGGGCAUCGAAUGUACCUCGGGCAAUAUCGUUAAGUUAAUGAAUUGGGCCAACGUGCUGCAUUGGGACAACGUGGUCUUGCUUGGUCGACGUACUCACCACAUAACCGAGGCGGAAACAAAGCAAAAGGCGACACAGAGGUAUUUCUUGUCAAGGUCUAGUCGAAACUUAGGACGUAGUGGAUCAUUAACCUAUUCAAUGAAGGUCGGUCCCCAGGCCAUGCUACGAUGGUCCCACCACCAGGCAUAGAAUGUACCUAGCGCAUCCCCAUUAAUAGAACCUCGGGGCAUCCCAUCCGCAUCUGUUUAUUGGGGUGUUCCUGUAUUGGU
This 56540-nucleotide long non-coding RNA is filed under the name Musa acuminata (dwarf banana). Its description in RNAcentral is "long non-coding RNA (MACU_LNC008109)". The record is from RNAcentral. Lineage: Eukaryota; Viridiplantae; Streptophyta; Magnoliopsida; Zingiberales; Musaceae.